UAUGUCCCCAACUAUCCACUUAUUGUUUGAUUUAUGUCUGUUUCGCUGCCCUUGCAUUGACCCUGAGGGAGGGCUGUGUGGGAAGUUGGUGUGUGAGAUUAUAGAGAGGGCUGAUGUAGAUGUGGGUUCUGCAGAGCGUCUGGAGCCGGAGUAUAUGCAGGGAGACUGAUAAAUAGCCAGGAGAAAUACAUCAAGCUUAAUAAGCCUAGUCCAGCUUGUAGUGGUGAGUCCAUCAGGAGAGAUCUGCGUUUCACCAUUUCUCUGUGCAGGUACUGUACUUCUUUACAAAGAUAUAUAUAUAUAUAUAUAUAUAUAUAUAAAUAUAUAUAAACACAUACAAGCCAUUGUUGCAAUAAUAAAUCAACAAGUAAAUAUUUUAUUAAAUACAAAUAAUCUUGUGUAUUUGUUAAGGUAGAAACUUUUGAAAAAUUAAUUUGGAAAUUGCUAACUUUGCCAACUUUUUCCGUCACUAUUUUCAGAAUGCACUUGUCUAUUACCUGCAUUUUUAAUGAUUACAGUAUUAUACAUGUUUUAAAAUACAGUAGCAUUUAAUAUUGCUUCUUUAAAAUAUAUUUUUAAUAUCAGUUAAUGUCAGAAUUAUAUUUAUUGUAUUAAUUAUGCUCUAAUAACAUGUGAUGAUGUACACGUUAUGGUAUGCUGUUGGUCUUCUAAAGUUGGAAUCUGUGAGUAGUACUUUUACCAAGGUAAUUCACUGAAGUGAGAAUUUAAAGUGAAUGUCAAAUUUAAUGCCAAAGUAGCUGAACUGGAAGCACGGAUUACUUAGAGAAUGUUCCAAUUUGAAAUUCACUUUGAAUUCUCACUUUAGUGAAUAACACUGUAUAGGUUUUAAGUUCACCAUAACUCAUUUGUUGUUCAUAACUUACAACCCAGACUUAAGUAAUUGAUCGCAGAGUUUAUAUAAAGGGAGUUUAUGAAGAAUACAUAUUCAGUGUUAAAAAUGCAAACAGUUAUUUGGAGUUCAAUAAGUAUAAGUUGUUUUAAUAAACUGUCCUGUUGUUAAUAGAGGUUUGUAUAUUCUAUUAGAGACCUCUUUUGGACUAUUAAAUUCCCCAGAACUCAUUGUCUAGUGAAUGAAUUAAUCAGAUUUCCAGUUUGGCUAUUUCGGCCUUAACUUAGAAAUUCACUUUGAAUUUAAGUUGAAGUCUCAGCAAUGCUCGCUUCAGUGAAUUAUGCUGUUCUGGUGACAAAUAAUGUAUAGUAAAUCACUUGACGAGUUAAGUAGAAACCAUGCUCAGUGAAGGUUCUGAGUUUUCUACUGGUGUAACUUAGUGUGGAAUUUAGAGGUAUUUUUUUUUAAUAGCAGAGAUGAGCCUCUUAGUCAGAAGAUUGUUACCAUUAACUAUAACAUUUGUCAAGAAGUACAUAAUUUGAAUAGUCAAUUUAAAUUCCAUGUUAAGCUACAUUACUGAUAAGCAUGCACAUCUAAAAAAUAUUGUAUGUAAGAGGUUGGAAAAAAUUCCACAGUAGUCAUAAUAUGGUUGGAGAAAUUAUCUUCCUUCUUGACAGUUCUAAGUAGUGUCUGCUUGUCUGUAAUGUAGCUCACCAUGUAGAACAUGAUCACAGAUUUUUUAUUGGUUUUUACCAAAAUAAUUUAAGGAGUGUAAUAAAAUCCUGUCCGCAGGAAAAAUAAACUUCAGUCUAUGACCUCGAUUUAAUAAGCUUUCCAAAUGACUCAAUAUUAACAUUUUACAAGUUAUUUUUCUAUCCAAAUUCCCAUAGACUUUAGUGGUGAAGUCUGUAGGUAAGUCAUUUGUAAAAUCAUACAAAUACGGAAAGCUUAUUAAAUCGAGGCCUUUAUUAGAGUAGCAUUCUACAAAAUGUAAGGAGUUUGGCAGAUAGUUUUGAUAUUCUUCUUAUAUGUUAUUGUGUGUAUGUUAUAUAUGUUGUUGGCUCUAUUAAAGUAAACAGCAAAUUGGAGGGAUCUGGCAUUGAACCUUCACACUUUAGGCCAAAAUAACUGUAAUGGAAACAACAUAAAUUAAACAGCAGUGGAGAUUCAUUUUUAAAAUAGCUACCUUGCUUAAAGGGACACUUCAAGCACCAUAACCUCAGAUGAGGUUAUGAUGCCAAUUGUAAUCUGGCUCCCGCCAAGGUACGUGAUCAAACAAUUUAAGAACAGUUUGACAACUUACCUGCGGUCUGCUGGGUACUGGGCGCCUUCUCCUCUGGCGAAGGAAGGUUCAGGCGUAUAGAGCUAGCUAAUUGGCUAAACGAGUCAGCUGAGCGUUACAGUCAAUAAGCACCAUCCUGCAAAGCUUGGCUUAAGCUCAGUGCAGGAAGCUUUAAGCUAGUGAGGAGGUGGCAAUGGCUGCCCAGUGGCCCCCAAGUAAGUAGUAACAUCAGUUUUACUCCUUACUUUGUGAGGGAUCCAGGGUACUCCUAACUUUAUAACUAUUACAGGGCACAAGGGAGGUUAUGCUGCAUAACUCCAUAACUACUACAGAGCGCUAGAGUGGUUAUGGUGCUUGUAGUGUUCCUUAAAUGAUCUGUGUGGGCACCAUAACAACGUAAUUGAAAGUUGUUAUGGUGCCCAAAAGGUCCCUUCUUACCCAAAAGAGUUAAACCAUUCACAACUGGUUUAACUUCAAAUGUUGCUCUCCAGCUCCGGAUCUCACUGUUCCCAGUGGCAUCCCAUUUAUAAAAUUCAAUUUGUGGAAGCAUGAAGUGCUGCUGGAAAGGGUCACUUCUGAUUCUCUAAUCCAAUCAGUAGCCCCCCAUUAACAGAAAUUUAACUUUUUUUGUUUCAGUAUCCCAACUAGUAUGUGUAUUCAUUACAAAAUAAUUAUACAUUUUUAAAUUUCAGAGAGGAGUGCCAAUGGACAAAUCCACCAUGGGUGCCAAGUACCCUAGGUAUGAUUCUGGUACCAUGCCUCAGAAGAUAAAUGUUAUAGUGAACAUAGACUGUUGCCAAAAAAAACAUAACUUUGAACAGAUCAGCAUACAAACUUGGUCAUUUAAGGGAUGCUCUAAGCACCAUAACCCCUACAUGAUUUGCAGUGGAUAUUGUGGAAGGAGUCAUUAUAUACAGUUUCUCCAAUUUUUGUAAACCCAUUUUGGAGCAGUUUCACACAAACCAGGGCUACCUCACCACCCCUCUCUGCUUCCACUGAGAUAUUGCAGAAUUUUUAUAAAUCAAUCAUACAAUUUGACAAAUAUUCUUGGUCCAUAACUGUGGCGGAGCUCCCUGUACCCAGGCUGGGUACAUCUGCCCAUGCUUCCUAUCUGGGGGAAAACCGGGGAAAACUGUCGCUCUUCUGCCCCAGUCACCAUGGUUUGACUGGGGUCAUUCUGGAGCUUUUCCACCCGACCAGGCUGCAGCUCUCCUUCCAGGCAGGUAUAGCCCCUCUGCCUAUUCUGCUGCAACCCUUGUUCCAGGCAGGUAUCGUCCCCUCUGCCUAUUCCACUGCAGCCCUUCUUCCAGGCAGGUAUCCAUCUCUGCCUGCAAUGUGAUUGCUAUUGCCUUUACAAAGACACUUGCAGCUCUCAGGCCUAGCUCUCUUGAUUUAUCCCACGGCUAGAGGGAUCAUGCAGCCAGCUUACAGGUACGACAACUCUGGGAUUUCUAAAAAUCCACACAGGACACCGUUCCAAAAGGAAUUAACAAUACUUUAUGUUACUUGGGACUAGCCCAUACGUUCAUUGCAUAUACAUUGCUGUGACAAACAUAAUAAAAUUCAAAUAACCAAAACAUGUCACAACAUAUACAGGAAAUUAUAAUAGCAUAAGAACAUAUUUAUAAAGGGAUGGGGAAGACAUUAAUUAACAGAACAUAUCUCUCCUGCGUGCAGAAUUAGCAAUAUGUAUAUAUACCCAAAUAUGCAAAUUAGCGAUCAUUGCUAUUCAGGUAGUGCAUAUACCGGUUGCUAGAUCCUUGCCACCAACUGGUGACGCUGUACAGGCUCCACAGCCACAUCCACCUAGUUGAUUGCAAGCAUUAUCAAGACAGGAGAGCACACUAAUAUUUAGAAUAUUCUUUUUUUUUUUCUUCCUUAUAAAUCUUUAUUUGAUUUUACACAAAAAUAAAUUACAGGUAUCUCAUACCGCUUUAAAACAACAAUAAAUAUCUAACAUACAAUCUAGACAAUUACUUCUAAGCAUACACCAUUCAUACACAUACAAAGUGGGAUAAGGACACAGCAUACAUAGGAAACAAUAUAUGUCUCUUAUUUUUUUAAACAGGUCAAUACACUGAAGUGACUUAGUGAAAUACUCCUAGGUUUCUACUAUCUUCUAUAAUUUGUAUACAUUUUAUUCCCAUCUCAUAUUUCUUUACAUUUUCUUUCCCCCUAUAUAAACCUAUCUCAUUCUUAAUCUGGGACAGAAACAGUUUUUCCCAGUGCUUACAAUCAAUAACCUUACAGUUUUUCCAGCCUCUUGCUAUCAGAAUCUUCACUGCCAUGAAUGAAUAUAUAGUUAAAAAUUGUUGAUAUAAUGACAUUUCAGGCCAGUGGAGAUGUAGAAGCACAGAGGUUGGAGAUUUUUCUAUCCAUAUUUUAUCCCAAACAUAUAGUCUUCUGAAAACAUCAUCCCAUAAUUUCUUAAUUAAUUUACAACUCCACCAAAUAUGGAUAAAACUUCCGAUUUCACUCCCACAUCUCCAACAAAUGUCCGACUCCUUAUGAUCAAUUCUAUUUAGUCUAAUUGGCACACUAAUAUUUAACCUCAAACAACCAGAUUACACCCUGCACCUGCAAUGGACACAGGGUGACUUAAACAUAGGAAAAGUCCAGGGUCCUACAUAAAAUGUUCUUAUGAAACCCCAGGUGAUGGUGACUUCAACCAAAACAGCUCUUUGUCAAUCUUUCAGAUGAAUCAAAUCUUUAGAGCAGACUACUGGAGCCAUCUAUAGUAAAGCGGGGGGGGAAGGCUGAAAGGGCUGCACUAGCCCAAAGAAGGAGCUCUGUCCCAUCAUGGGCCAAAGGCAAUACUAGAUGUUGUGGGGAAGGUAGCCAGACAGUCUUCGUCUCUUUUUUGUGAGCUCUGAUAUAAUCAGAGUGUUGCCAUGGUAACCCGCAGCAACACUCUGGAUCACAGAAGCUUGCAAGAGGCAUGGUCUAUACCCUGCUGAGGUACAGACCAAAUAACCAGCUCACUGGUCCACCAGGAAUCAGUAUGCCCCCUCUCUUCCUGCAAGGUAAUAAUAAGGAGGGGGAGUAAAUGUUUGUCUGGUUUAUUUAUUUAUAAUUAAAUUAAUUAAUUAAGCCUCAUCCUACUCCCUAUACACACACUACACCCCCUGCACUCACACACAUGCUAUUCUCCCACCCUGUGCACUCACACACGUAUUAUACAUACUACGUACACUCUAUAUCCCCUAUAAACCCCCCACACACACACUCUAUACCCCAUAUAAAUACACACAUUACACCCCCUAUACUCACACACACACUUCUCCAUAUCAAUAUACCCCUAUACACACACAACCCUUAAGCACAGUAUACCCUUAUAAACACACUACAACUUCUGGAUACACACACUAUAUCCCUAUAGAAACACUACACCGCUAUGCACACACACACACACUAUACCCCUACACAUACACAUUAUCGUAUCUAUACACACGACACAUAGACACUCUUCAGCUGCUAUAUAUAUAUAUAUAUAUAUAUAUAUAUAUAUACACAAGGCAAAUCCCUGCAGCCCCAUGCACAUACACACAGUACAGCCCAUACAUGCACACACAAGACCCCCUAGACACAUACACUCUACAAGUUUUAUAAACAUGCACACACUUUAUAGUCCAAAAACACACAGCCAUUAGCCUCAAACAGUAUGCCACAAACAGAGCCCUUUACACACACUCUAAAACACAAAUAGUCUCCUCUACACACAUACUAUCCCACAAGCAACUUCCAAACACAUACAGCACCACACACGCACAGCACACUUUAAUAGUCCUGUCCCACUUUUACCCCUAGUAUAAGCAAUAGAAAAAAGACUUUUUCUCCAUCUGCAAGCAUUUGUCAGGUUACCUUGUGGAUCAGUCAGGGGCAUGUCACAGGCUGGCAUCACAUUGCAGCAGGGGAGGGCUGGCAGCAUUAGGCCUGGGGGGCAAAACCAGUCAAGUGGCCCAUUGCACCACCAAAUCAGUUCACCAUUCAUGCCCACCUUUUCCUGGUUUUAUAACGGAUAUUGAUGUUAUGCUAAUCAGUAGCUCUUUGCCAUACCCGCUCCUUCACGGCUCCAGGCACUGCUUGUUGUGAGUGUGAGCCACUGUAAAUUAGGGGCAGAGGGCACUUGCACUGCGGUAAAGAUGGGGCUGGGCAGGAGGAGAGUGCAGUGCAAUCAGUGCACUCCCCUCCUGUGGGUCACCAGUAGACUGGUGCACCUGCCCAGGAUCAGAGCCGGUGCAAGGAUUUUUGCCGCCCUAGACAAAAUAAAAAUUUGCUGCCCCCCCAUGUGACAUCACAAUGCCCCACCCAUAUGAACUAACGCCAGUGCUGCACACAGUGUGUGUUUACAUUAAAAAGCCUGCAGGGACCAGCUAUAGACACCAGAACCACUUCAUUAAGCUAUAGUGUCCCUUUAAUGUAAGGUACAUUAUAGAUUAGUGUCACUAAUAAUAUACUAGAUUGCCUACUUACAAGCAGAUGAGGAUGAUGAUGGGCUGCAGUUUGGCUCCACUGGUCUGGUGUAGAACAGGAUCUCUGGAGGCUGUUUGCAACUGUGGUCACAAAAUUCAAUGUUCUGGGAGAAUUGGAAGCAGCUCCAUUUUUUGGGGCCCCUUACACAGCUCAAGGUCUGGGCCCCAGGGCCUGACGGUGAGUAUGCCCAUAAGGCCCACUCUCAUAAGUUCCACCCACCCAUGAGUUCGCUCACAGGGAGUGGAGUGUGUAGGGGAUGUGUUAUGUUAUUGUAGAGGAUCUAAUAUGUGUGCUUAUGGUAUGUAGUGUAUAGGGAUACCAGUUUGUGCAGGUGAUGCAGUGUGUUUGUGUGUAGUGGAAGCAGUGUGUAUUUGUGUAUAAGGGAUGUAUUAUGUGUUUCUGGUUGUGUGUAAGGGAUGCAUUGUGUGAAUCUGUGUUUGUAUGCAUAAGGGAUGCAAGGUGUGUGUCUGUAUGUGUGUGCAUUGAGUGUAAGAGAUGCAUUGUGUUUCUGUGUGUAUGUAAGAAAAGAAGUGUGUGUGUUUGCAUGUGUGUGUACGGGUUUGCAUUGUCUGUUUCUGUGUAUGUGUGCAAAGGAUGCAUUGUCUUUGUGUGUAAGGGUUGCAUGUGUGUGUGUGUGUAAUGGAUGCAUUGUGUGUUUCUCUGUGUGUAAGGGAAGCAUGUUGUGUUUCUGUGUAUGUAUAGGGAUGCAUUGUGUGUGUGUGUGUGUGUGUGCGCGCGCGUAGUGUGAAAGAGCUCCCUGUCUUGGCCCCUGUCCUAUAGAGCUGCCCCUUCUGUCCCGUAGAGCUCUCCCCUGCACCUUAGUGGUCUCUCCUCUCCCCCACCCUCCCCUAGCGGUCUCUUCUCACACUCACCCACCCUCCCUGUGCUCUUCUCAUCCCCCCCUCCACCCUCCCUGUGUUCUUCUCACUCCUCCCUCUAUGUGUUCUCCUCACACCCCCUGUGUUCGUCUUACCCCCCUCCUCCCUGUGUUCUUCAUACUUCCCCCCUUGGUCGUCUUACUCCCCCACCUGUUCUUCUUACUCCCCCACCUGUUCUUCUUACCCCCCUUCUUCUUAUUGCUCCCCCUUCUUCUUCUUACUCCCCCCUCUUCUUCUUACUCCCCCUUCUUCUUACCCCCCCUCUUCUUACUCCCCACUCUUCUUCUUCUUACUCCCCACUCUUUUUCUUACUCACCCCUUCUUCUUCUUCUUACCCCCCUCUUUCUUAUCUCCCCUCCUUCUUACUCCGCCCUCCCCUCCUUCUUACUCCGCCCUCCCCCUUUUCUUAUUCCCCCUCUCCCUCUUCUUACUCCCCCCUCUUUUUCUUACUCCCUCCUCUUCUUCUUCUUACUCCCCAUCUUUUUCUUACUCACCCCUUCUUCUUCUUACCCCCUUUUUCUUAUCUCCCCUCUUCUUAUCUCCCCUCCCUCCCCUCUUCUUAUUCCCCCCCUCCCCUCUUCUUAUUCCCCCUCCCCUCUUCUUAUUCCCCUCCCCUCUUCUUACCCUCCCCCUUUUCUUAUUCCCCCUCUUUUUCUUACUCCCUCCUCUUCUUACUCCAUCUUUUUCUUACUAACCCCUUCUUCUUCUUACCCCCCUCCCCUCUUUUUAUUCCCCUCCUCCCCUCUUUUUAUUCCCCCUUCCCUUUUUUAUUCCCCCCUUCCCUCUUUUUAUUCCCCCCUUCCCUCUUCUUAUUCCCCUCUUUUUAUUCCCCCCUUCCCUCUUUUUAUUCCCCCCCUCUUCUUAUCUUUUGCAUUCCCCCUCCCUCUAUUCCUCCCUCUUCUUACCCCCCUCCUCCCCUCUCUUCUUACCCCCUCCCUGUAGGCGUGGAAGGCUGCCUCCCGAUCACAUGCGGUGGCGUGACUGGAGGUGAUGGGAAGGUGCGCACUGAGGUGUGCUUCCUGUCAGUCGACGGUGACAGCAGAAAAACAGAAACUCCUGUUCGCUGGCGGAACAGGAGUUUCUGUUUCAUGCCGGUGGGACUGACCCGGGAGGUGCACACUGAGGCGUGCACCUUCUAUCGCAACCCGACCCGGCCACCGCGGACCGGAGUGCAGCUCGGCCACGCUACAGGGGAGAAGCUGCAGUCGCCUGAGCGCUCUUAACAGAGCGCUCGGGCGGCUGCAGUAUUUAAAGGGCCGGCCCGCUGCGGCCGGCCUUACAGGAAUUUAGGGCGGCCUGGGGACACUCCUACCAACUCUCAGCUUGUCCCCAGCGAUUCUCAAGCCAGUCGCGAUAACCCUGCCUCCUUUUACGAUGCUGCUAAUGAGCGCCAAUGUCAUGAUGCCAAGGACGCAACGGCCUGCCAAGGUGUUUGAACGAGAACAUUUGGGGUUGCGGUUACCUACCUAAUUGAACGCGGUAUUUAAACCGUGGUUGUUGUUUGUCCCAAGAGCGCGUAUUCCGUAUUGGUAUUCUUGUAUUCUGACUUUGGCUUUGUUUGACUAUUCUUCCUUCUGUGUUCCUUUGACCUCGGCUAUUGCAUUAUCUUUGAUCCUGAUUUCUGGUACUCCUGACCUCGGCUCACUAUUUGACUAUUCUUUGUGUGUGUAGUCUUAGUCCAGCCAUCCUAAGGUCUGGUAUACAUUACUAAUAUUUGCAUUCUGCGUGUAGGAUCCCCAAACGUUCCAGACAGCGUGCUUGUCAUUGGUGAUGACAUGACAUGCCUCCUUUCUGGCCCUAUGCAAGAGUAUGUUGAGGUUCUCACCUUGUACAUUUUUGUGAACUGGAACACUAGACAAAUAGCCAUAGACGGCUAGAAACAGGUUUUCCAUAUUUCUAUUUGGUAGGUAUGCAAUAUAUUUGGGAAGGCUAAUACAUUUUCUUUCAUUUACGGUUUCCUUGAACUUUCAGGUUUUAAGGUUGUAUCAAAAAUGAUCACAAUUUAAAUAACACUCCUAUUAUAAUUGCCACUCCAAAAUUACAUUUUAGGUACUAAUUACAAUUGAUAAUUAUGAGUGCCAAAAAAUAGCAACAUCAUAGCCAUAGCUCCUCACCCAAGGUUUUUAGUCUGUUUCAAAGACUUUAUCAAGACUAAAGCAAUUUUUUAUUUUGUUAGUGGCUCGUAUAUUAUGAGUGGGAGCCUUAUUUAAAUUGUUACACCACUUUUAUUCUUUGUCAGCAAGGUACAGUAUAUAACAAGCCAAUUGCAUAUAUCUAUAAAUCUCACUGAUUUGUGUGGUUUUGUCAUACAGAUUAAAAUUUUACUUUUUCCCAGUUUUGAAGCUAAGCACGUCAACUAUAUGCUUAAUAAAUAACAGUAAAGGAAGUAAUUAAUAGGGUCUAUAAGUAUAAACAAGUUUUGGGGAUUAUUUUUCUCUGGUCUCAUAAAUAUUAAGGAAAAAUAUCUUUCCCACUAUAGUUAUAAACAAUCUGAUUAAGUUGUCAAGUAAAUGUUUAUUUCUGUUAAUAAGUGAUUGUAUAUUUCAGCUUAUAAUUUUGCAUUUACAUAGUUUACAUACAUGUAAUGUAAAUUUGUCAGUAGAAUUUUUUUUCUGUGUGUACAAAUAUAUUCAAUAUGUAUCUAAAAUUAAUUAAAUAUUAUAUAGAUAAAUAACAGUUGAUAUGCGCAAACUGUUUACUGUAGUGAGGCAGUUAGCUGUUGUAAGUACGUUUGUAUUUUAAGUACCGUAUAUACUCGUGUAUAAGUCGAGUGCAGUUUUGUGACCAACAAUUGUGAAAUAUGUUAUGCCUCGUGGAUAAGUCGAGGGUAAAACUUGGGGCUAUGAAAUUCUGUGAUUUUUAUAAUUAUAUACACACACACUCAUACAAACACACACACUGCAUUAUAUACACACACACAUAUACAAACACACACUCUGCAUUAUAUAACAAGAAAAAGGAAACUCAAAAGGCUGGAAAGUGGGAGUGGAGGAAAAGACACUCCCGUAUCCCACUGCUGAGCCUCCAGAGUAUAGAGGUCACCUGGACUGGUAAAAGGGGGUAACCCUGGAAAUUGUAGAAAAAAGGAAGAAAAAACCCCAAAAAGGGAUGUCUUAUAUAAAGACCGCCCAGAGGGUAAAUACCCAGUCCAAUCUCAACAGUAGUGUAGUUGCCAACUACACUACUGUUGAGAUUGGACUGGGUAUUUACCCUCUGGGCGGUCUUUAUAUAAGACAUCCCUUUUUGGGUUUUUUUCUUCCUUUUUACACUCUGCAUUAUACACACACACACUCAUACACACACUCUGCAUUAUACACACACACACACACACACACUCAUAUACACACUCUGCAUUAUACACACACACACACUCAUACACACACUAUGCAUUACACACACACACACACACACACACACACACACUCAUACACACUGCAUAUAUAAUUGAGUGUGUGUUUGUAUGAGUGUGUAUAUAAUGCAGUGUAUGUGUAUAUAAUGAAGUGUGUGUGUGUGUGUACAAUGCAGAGGGUGUGUUUGUAUGAGUGUGUGUUUGUGUGUGAACUGGGUGGGGGAGGGCACUUUUAUUAUUUUUAAUUUUAAUAUUUUAAUUUUUUUAUUUUAGUAUUAUUUUUUAUUUUAUUAUUUACUUUUUUCAUUUUAAUAUUUACAUUUUUUUAUUGUAAUAUUAUUAUUUUUUUUAUUAUUUAAUUUUUAUUUUCGUCCCUCCUCCCUGCUUGUUAGCUGGCCAGGGAGGGGGGCUCUCAUUCCCUGGUGGUCCAGUGGAUGGGCUGUGUAGGAGGGGGGCUGGCAGAGAGCUGUUACCUUUCCUGCAGCUCCUGUCAGCUCCCUUCUCCUCUGGUCCGGUCAGCUCCACUGUAAGUCUCGCGAGAGCCGCGGGGUCAGAGCGUUGCCACAGGUUACCGUGGCAACGCUCCGCGCGGCAGUCACACCGCAAGACUUACAGUGGAGGAGAAGGGAGCUGACAGGAGCAGCAAGAAGGUAAGUAACAGCUAUCUGCCAGCCCCCAACAGGACCGCCGGGCUUGUAAUGAGCCCGGCGGUCCUGGUCUGUAUUAUGGCAAUGUAAGUUGCCAUAAUACAGACACUGACUCGAGUAUAAGUCGAGUGGGGGUUUUUCAGCACAAAUAAUGUGCUGAAAAACUAGACUUAUACUUGAGUAUAUAUGGUAUGUUGUUUUUAGGACUCUUUCUUUAAGAAUUUGGCCGCAGGACUCAAACAGGGAGUCAUCAGGUAGUCUAAAUUUGCAUAAAAUGCCAAGGUACUGGCAAGUGUUUCUGAAGUAAUGGUACUGCUUUAAAUUGCAAGUAAUUAACCAGUUAUAGAUCAUAUUACAUUGAUAUGCAAGUUUGAAUUGGAUGCUGCUACUUGGGACUUUUGCUACAGUUAUGUUUUUAACAUUUUGAGUGGGUAUACAUAACAUUGUAGUGUGUGCUAUUAGAAAAUAAUGCCCUCAAGGAGUGCAGAUACAUCAUAUUAUUUCUUGAUACAUCUCAGUGGCUUAUGAAUAUCUACACAACAAAGAUAUGGAAAUAUUUAUCCUUUUAAGGGUUAUAGCUCAGGUUUGUUUUGUUGUCAAUCUUUGGGCAAUAUGAGGCAGUGGCGUCUCUAGGAUUCAUUUUUAGGGGGGCACAUGGAGGGCCAGGGACAAAAGUAGGGGGGCACAUUUAACCCCGCCCUCGCUGCAGUUUGACCCCGCCCCUGUCGCAUGUUAAGCCCCGCCCCCCACACAAUGUGUUGUUUUUUUUUUUAAUAAUACCUUUGGAGGAUUCAUUAUUUUCCACCAGGGAUUAUUAAAAAAACAAACACAUUACCCUUGAUACAGUGCCAUAGUUGCCAACAUUUAAAAAAAAAAUUUCCAAGGACAUUUUGCAGCACAGCUAUCAAUUACUGUUUUGGUAUAAUAUCCCUGGACAGUCAGUGCUCUCUGUAUAAUACAGGGUUGUGUGUAUAAUAAAUUGGGACACUCAGUGCUCCCUGAAUAGCACUGCUCUCUGUAUAAUACAGGUCUGUUUGUGUAUAAUAUCCCAAGACAGAGAGCAGCACUAUACAGGGAGCACUGACUGUCCCGGGAUAUUAUACAGGCACAGGCCUGUAUUAUACAGAGAGCAGCACUAUACAGGAAGCACUGACUAUCCCGGGAUAUUAUAUACACACAGAUCUGUAUUAUACAGAUAACUGAGCAUAUACCCCAUGUCCCAAUCUCUAGACUACUAGUACCUGUCAACAGCAGCUCCCAGAUGCAUGUAACAGGGCUAAAGUGUGCGGCAGCUCACACAGAUGAUUCAGCGGUAAAGUGCACUCGCUGGCAGAGCCAAACUGGGAAUCCCUGGGAAUCCAAAGCAGCCCUGGAAAAAAAAUGUAUGCCAUUCCUACAAGUAAAAAAAUAAAUAAAUAUAUAUAUAUAUACAUAUAUAUAUAUAUAUAUAUAUAUAUAUUACAGUAAGCACACAAGCUCACUGACAUGCGCAAAUAGGCUUACUGACAGACAAAACUCUCUGACUCACACACAAGCUUACUACAGACAAACUCACUACUAGAAGGCUCACUACAAAGAAGUUCAGGGACACACACAAGCUCACUAACACACACAAGCAGUACCAUUUUAACAGAGUUAAGGGCCCCUGGGCAAAGCAAUGCACUGGGGCCCUUCCUACACAACAACUCACAGGAAUUUUAAUUAUUGAUAGACUGCUGAGUCCAUACACACACACACAGACCUGAGUCCACACACCACACACACACACACACACAGACUGCUGAGUCCAUACACACACACACACACACACACACACACACACACACACAGACUGCUGAGUCCAUACACACACAGAGACUGCUGAGUCCAUACACACACACACACACACACACAGUCUGCUGAGUCCAUACAUACACAGACACACACACACACACAGACUGCUGAGUCCAUACACACACUGACUGCUGAGUCCAUACACACACACACACACAGACUGCUGAGUCCAUACACACACUGCUAUGUCCACACACACACACACACACACAGACUGCUGAGUCCAUACACACUCACAGACUGCUGAGUAAAGACACACACACAGACUGCUGAGUCCAUAAACACACACUCAGACUGCUGAGCAGUGGCUGAUCCAGAGCCUGAUCUCGGGAGGGGCACUUGUUGAUUAUUUAAAUAAAUAAUCCAGACACAAUAACCACUACAGCUCCAUGUAGUGGUUAUGGUGUCAAUAGUGCCGGGACCCCCUCCCAGAGUAAGUAGUCAAACCAUUUAAGAACAGUUUGACAACUUACCUGAGUUCUGCUGGGAAAUGGCCCGUAGUAGGGCAUAUGAGCAGUGGUGUGUGUGAGUGGUGCAAUGUGUAAGGGGUGCAGUGUGUGAGCAGUGUGUGUGUUUGAAGGUUGUAGUGUGUGAGUGAGUGCGGCAGUGUAUGUCAGGGAUGCAGUGUAGGUGUGGGACAGUAUGUGUGUGUAACAGUUGCAGUGUGUGUGUGAGUGUGGGCAAUGUGUGUGUAUGGGGUGGAAGUGUUUGGGGAGCAGUGUGUGUGUAUGGGGAUAGUGUAUGUAUGUAGAGUGUGUGUGUAUGCGGGAGCAGUAUGUAUGUAUGGGGGAGCAGUGUGUGUGUAUGGGGGAGCAGUGUGUGUGUAUAGGGGAGCAGUGUGUGUGUAUGGGGGGGGUCAGUGUGUGUGUAUGGGUGCAGUGUGUGUGUGUGUAUGGGGAGCAGUGUGUGUGUUUGGGGGGCAAUGUGUGUGUAUAGGGGGGCAGAGUGUGUGUGUAUGGGGGGAGCGAGGUGUGUGUGUGUAUGGGGGCAGUGUGUGUGUGUGUGUGUAUGGGGGCAGUGUGUGUGUAUAGGGAGCAGUAUAUGUGUGUAUGGGGGGCAGUAUUUGUGUAUGGGGCAAUAUGUGUGUAUGGGGUGCAGUAUGUGUGCAUGGGGGGCAGUGUGUGUGUGUAACAGUUGCAGUGUGUGUGUGAGUGUGGGCAAUGUAUGUGUAUCGGACGGCAGUGUAUGGGGGCAUUGUGUGUGUAUGGGGAGCAGUGUAUGUGUAUGGGGAGCAGUAUGUGUGUGUAUGGGGGGCAGUAUGUGUGUACGGGGGGCAGUAUGUGUGUAUGGGGGGCAGUGUGUGUGUAUAGGGGGCAGUAUAGGGGACAGUGUGGGGAGCAAUGUGUGUGUGUAUAGGGGCAGUAUGGGGGGCAGUGUGGGGGCAAUGUGUGUGUAUAUAGGGGGGCAAUGUGUGUGUAUGGGGGGCAGUGUAGAAGGGGGCAAUGUGUGUGUGUAUGGGGGCAGGGGUGUAUUAUAGGGGCAGUGUGGGGCAAUGUGUGUGUGUAUAUGGGGGGCAGUAUAGGGGGGCAAUGUGUGUGUAUGGGGGGCAAUGUGGGGGCAAUGUGUGUGUAUGGGGGGCAGUGCGGUGGGGGCGGGGCUUAUGUGCGGGAGGCGGGGCUUUGUUUGGGGGCGGGGCCUGUGCCGGGGAGCCAAUCAGUGCUCCCUCCAGCCACAGACAGCCCCCAGCACUGCAUUCCCUCGGGCUGUAACAGAUUGUUACAGUCCGAGGGAAGAACAUGGCCAGCAAGUUGCCGGCAUUUGGGGGGGCUCAGCAUGAUGUAGGGGGGGCCAUGGCCCCCUCUGGCCCCCCCCUAGCGACGCCACUGAUGAGGGCAUUCAUGACCCGGUUUGCCAAAGAUUGGUAAGAGCCAUACUCACAGGCAGCAGCUGCUAUAUGUGUCUUUGUCUUUUAUUCAGCCCAUCUCCUGAUAAGUCAGGAGAGGACAUUGGUAGACAAAAUUGCACUGUUGAUAAACUUGCACAAUUGCAAAUCUGUUGCUGUGGAAAAGUGCAAACCCUGCUAAGCUUGCGCAGGCCAAGACAGAUAUGUGCUGCUCUUAGAUUAGGAACCCCACACUACAAUACUGGUCACAUUAUGCAUUACAUUUUUUAACGUAGAGUGUAGUGUUGUCUAUCACACUGCGUGAUAUACCAAAACAUAUUUUUUUUUAUUUUAGAAGACUAAAGGGAGCAUAUACUUUCUCAUGACAAAUAGUAAGCUACCAAGAUAUAUGAAUAGGAAAAAACUUAGCUGUCUCGGCUAUUUUGUUCAAAAAUAUGUCUGCUUCCCACAAUUCUGCCUUCAGUGAACAAGCCCCAGUGACUGAGAUAAUAUAUGUCUAUAAUAAACUAAAAAUAGACACUUUAGUAAAGGCUCUCUUCAAUAUAGGGUCAGAUUUACAUCUUCAGAGCCUGUAGAUAGAGAUCUGUAGCCCAAACAAUCUUUCUCGAUCCUCUGUAACUCAGAUAGGUCAGAAAGUUAAAACAUGGCUAUAUUGCAGGCAACCUUGUAAGGGGACAGGCUAGAAGAAUCAUCAAGUUCUGUUAUAUUAUGACACUGCUUUGGUUUAUAGUUUUAUAUUUUAAUGUAUUAUUGCUUUAAAUAAUUUAAUGCAAAUUUCCUGCACAUAACUUAGUCCAUCUAUAAUUUGACCAUCACACAUGAUAAAAUGAUGCCACAUAUAACAACAUCGACUACAAAGUCAGAGAUAUUUUUAACUUAAAGGACCACUAUAGACACCCAGACCACUUCAGCUUAAUGAAGUGGUCUGGGUGCCUGGUCCAGCUAGGAUUAACCCUUUUUUCUGUAAACAUAGCAGUUUCAGAGAAACUGCUAUGUUUACCUAUGGGUUAAUCCAGCCUCUAGUGGCUGUCUCAUUGACAGCCACUAGAGGGCUUUCGCGCUUCUCACUGUGAAAAUUACAGUGAGAAAACGCCAGCGUCCAUAGGAAAGCAUUGUGAAUGCUUUCCUAUGGACUGGCUGAAUGCACGCGCGGCUCUCGACGCGCAUGCGCAUUCAGUCGGUGAAGGAAGAAAAAGGAGGAGAGGAGGAGGAGAGCUCCCUGCCCGGCGCUGGAGAAAAAGGUAAGUUUAACCCCUUCCUUCCCCUAGAGCCCGGCGGCACCCUCAGGGGACUGUAGUGCCAGGAAAAAGAGUAUAUUUUCCUGGCACUAUAGUGGUCCUUUAAAAAAUUCAAUUUACUAGUGUCCAAACCAUGCUAGACUUUGUACUUAGCUUCCAUGACUGAUUAGUCAGAUAAUGAUACUGUGAUUCACUAACUUGCCUGUGUUUCAAACAAAUAUUUGCAGUGAAAGAUUACAGAAAACUGCAAAAAUAAUCCCAUCACUUUUGCACUGCCUCCACAAACUCCCUCUCUACAUUUUGGUAAGUACAGAAUGUAAAUACAACACAGUACAAAGUGCUGACUGAUGUGCUCUCUCCAGCAAGACCAUAGUAUACUAGUUGAAUUUCAUGGUAAUUUUCAAGUAAUGUGAAUGGUCCUCGAAUUUUCUCUGGAACUCUUAAAGGGGAACUGUCACUUCUCAGGAUUUAUAUUAUGUAUACUUACCCCUAUAAUUAACAACUGUUCCCGAAUUAGUAAUAGGAAAACUGUUGGCCUUUUCAGGCUCACUUGGUUAGGAGCAUUGACAUAUGAUGGCCAUAUGUAGGAAACCUCUCAUUCUUUAAAGGAACACUAUAGCGUUAGGAAUUCAAAUAUGUAUUUCUAAUUGACUAGGGCCCCUUCCCGGGCAAAUAAAUGGUUAAUUAACCAUUUAUUUGCUUACCUUAAUCCAGCGCCAGGCUCCCUCGGCACAGGUGACCUCUCCUCCUCCGUCAAUGUCAGCUCCCAAGUGGAGCUGAAUGCGCAUGCGCAGCCAGAGGCGCGCACACAUUCAAACCCGCCCAUAGGAAAGCAUUACUCAAUGCUUUCCUAUGGAAAUCUAUUUUGACACUGGAGGUCCGUGAGGACAUCCAGCGUCAAAUAAGUGCGAUUUACUCGGUGUAAAUAGCGGAAGCGCCUCUAGUGGCUGUCAGGGAGACAUUGAGCUGAAGUGGUGUGGGUGCAUAUAGUGGUCCUUUAAGGCUCAGCUACUUUAUAUUCAGUAUUGUGCCCAAUAUGGCUUCACAUAAGAAGGAAAUUAUUUGUUUUAUUGUGCUUUCCUUUAUAUUAGAGCCCAAUGUGGCAUCUGGGGAUAGGUUUUCUUUUUUUCUAUGUCAGACUGUGCUAAAAGUGUGCCCUUGAAAAUAUUUGUAUAUCACACUUUUGUCCUAAGUUACUUGGGCAGUUUUUUUUUUGGGGUAAAAUGUCUUUAGAAAUCAUUUUAUUUAAAAACAUUUAAGAAAAAUUAAAAACCAUACAAUAUUAUUCUGCUUCUAAGUACUACAAUCUGUCUACUAUCUGUAGUAUCUGUAGAUAUCAAAGUAUAUAUUAAAAAAAUGCUUCUGCUCCAAAAAUACAAAUAUUUAUAUAAUUGCUUCAAUACUCCAAAAAACAUGUGUAUUUAACUUGCUCACUAAGAGCUGAGAACAAAACAGCAUACUAUGUACUGAGGUAGUGAAAGCUGUAUUUUUCCAUGUUAGAGAAGUGUUCUUUUUACUCUGAGUCUGAGCCAAAAAUGUCAACAAUUAAACCAGAUAUAAGAACAAUUUGCCAAAAAAACAACACAUUACACUCUGCUCAUUAAAAGACUUAUUGUACGGCACAAAAGUUUUUUUGGGUGGCGGGGGGAGGGAGGGGGAUCCACGAUACUGGUACACUAUGUGAAAGGGUCCACAGGAAAAAACUAAUUGGGAUCCCCUGGCUCCUCUUAUGGCAAGUUUUUGCCUGUCAUCAAUAAUAUAUAUAUAUAUAUAUAUAUAUAUAUUUUAUAUCUGCUGCAUAAGAAAAUAGCAGUUUAUUUGUUCAACACUGUAGGCUAGUGAUAGACACAUCAGAUGCACUUACAGCCAUUGUGCUGGCAAAAAAAAACCAUCAUGGGAAAUGUCUUCCACAGCAUCUGGAGUAAAGGAGGUUGUCUACUUCUGCAGUGUGGGCAAUAAUCUAAAUAUUGUGGGCUCCAACUCCCACAACAGUGAACAGACCAACUCGCUCACAUGGUUAAAGAAAUAUUACAUAUUUCAUGUUGGCGGGGGAUAGCCUUCCAUAUGAAAGUUUUAGGCAAAAAUAAUUCAAGAUAAUAGAACUAAUAUAAAAAACAUUUUAGCAUACCUGAUAUAACAAAUAUCUAUUACCCUGUAUGUUUGUGGGGGGAAGCUAGCCCUUCUCAAUAUGAAAAGAACACAAUAGUCACCCAGAACACUUCAUCUGAUGUUAUUUAACCCUACAAUGUAAAACAUUGCAGGUCUAAAGCCAUCUCUAUUGGCUGUCUUCCUGAAAUCCACUAGAGGUGCUUCCUGAUAGCAGCAUUUACUUGGAGGAGUGUGGUGUUUGGCCAUGCUUUCCUAGUUCUAAUCCAUUACCUUUUCUAUGAAAAGCAAUGGAUUUGAGGAGAUUGUAGAUGAUAUCACUUGGAUGCUUACAUCAUCGAUGGAGGAGCAGGAGAUUGCAGCAGAUGAGUCCAGAGUUGCAAACGAGAGGAGAACACUUUAUUUUGCUUAAUUUUACAUAGUAAAGGGAAGUGGACAGAAAAGGGGUGAACAGAGACGACUAUUUUCACAACUAAAGGUUCUCUUUAAAGAGUUACUCCCGUCACCAUGACCACUUUAGUAAUUUGACGUAGUCAUUGUGCCUGGAGUGUAUAUGUGCAGCAUUUCACUUUGGAAGAUUUCUGGACUAAUGUUAUUUCUGUUUAAAUUUCUUUGCACAGAGGCUCACUCAUUGGUUGACAGUGGUCAGCUAACACUCUGGUCAGCUUUUGCUGCUCUGUAGAAGCCAGAUGUCUUAAAUCUGCCUUCAAAGAAGAGCAGGAGCCCAACAGGACCCAGGCAAGAGAGCUAACUGUUAAAAAUACAUUUUGCCCCAAUACCAUGGAAUGUGGCCAGGGUAUUCCUAUCAUCAUAACCAGAAGGAGCUAAGGAUGGUUUAUUACCCCCAACAAAUACUUUUAGAACUAUACAAAUUAGGGAUCGACCGAUUAUCGGUCUGGCCGAUAUUUGGUAUUUUCGGCAAUAUCGAUAUCGGCCAAUUCAGAUACCGAUAUUGCCGAUUAUAUAUAACAGGACCGCCGGGCCCAUUACAAGCUCGGCGGUCCUGUGGGGGCCAGCAGCAAGCGCUGACUUACCUUGCAUGCAGCUCCAGCAGCUCCCUGUGUAAAUCUCGCGAAACCCGCGGCCGCAGAGCGUUGCCACGGGUUACCAUGGCAACGCUCCGCGCGGCACUAAGAGCCGCGAGAUUUACACAGGGAGCUGCUGGAGCUGCUUGCAAGGUAAGUCGCUUGCUGCUGCUGAGCCACCACUGUACUUAACAAGCCACUGGACCACCAGGGAAUACUAUAUCCCCCUCCCUGGUAAGAAGCAGGGAGGGGGGACUAAACAAAAAAUAAAAACAUUUUUAAAUAUUAAAAAAAAUAUUAAAAUAAAAAAUUACACAAAUUACAUCACUACACAAACACACACAAACACACACUGCACACAUACUGCUACUCAGACACACACACUGCAUUACACACACACACUACGCAAACACACACUAGGGGGGACUAAACAAAAAACAACAACAUUUAAAUAUUAAAAAAAAUAUUAAAAUAAGAAAUUACACAAAUUACAUCACUACACAAACACACACUGCACACAUACUGCAUUACAUACACACUACACAGACACACACACACACUGCAUUACAUACACACACUACACAGACACACACACCACAAACACACACACCACACACUGCAUUACAGACACACACACUGCACACACUACACUGCAUUACAUACACACACACAACACAAACACACUGCACACAUACUGCAUUACAUACACACUACAUUACAUACACACUACACACACACACUGCAUUACAUACACACAUUACAUACAUACACAUACACACUACACAAACACACACAAAAACACUGCAUUAUACACACACUACAUUCAUUAUACACACACUACACAAACACACACUCUGCAUCCACUACACACACUACACAAACACACACAGUUCCCCUGUCUAAACACACUUCAUCCACUACAUGUGGCAUGUAUAUUUUGUGCAUUUACCUUUCGAAUUAGUUUAUUUAUUCAAAAUAGUAAAUGUACAGAAUAUCGGCAAGAUAUCGGCUAUCGGCCUGAAAGUUUGCAGAUUAUCGGUAUCGGUAUCGGCUCUAAAAAAUCAAUAUCGGUCGAUCCCUAAUACAAAUACAAUUGAUCUAACAAUGAUCUAGCGAACUACAUACAUUUAUAUAUAUAUAUAUAUAUAUAUAUAUAGAUUGGGGAGCUAACAAGGCUGCAGUGCUUUUUUUUUAAAUCUCUUAUGUAUUAAGCUAGGAGGUGCACCAUGCAAGCAUAUUAACCUGGUUUCAAGUUCAAAUUUGCACCAAAACUUGGGGCUCUGCCAUCGGAUGGCCCAUGCAUUCAAGGCCACCUGAUUGGUAUUAUCCCUGAAGAUGCCCUAAGUAGGAUACAGGCUGUGAGAGAGAAAUAGAAGGAGAACCUAUAAACGAAAUUAUAGGUGAGUAUGAAGGAGAAGAGAAGGAAAACCUAUAAUAGAAUUUAUAGGUUACAAGUAUAUACAACUAAACAACAAUAUAAAGGAACAAGUAAUACUGAUAGGUUUAACGUUUAGAGGAUCAGUCUCUUUGGUUUUGAAGAUUGUACAGCAGGGUUUAUCAUAAAUCAAAGUCCAGUAUUUGAAUAAAGCUGGACAUCCAGGUUGGUUAAAUAGUUACCAGUAAUUUGUAGGAACGAAGUAAUAAUGAAACAAAGUCCAGUAUUGACUAAAGCUGGUAUGGAUAGACGAUCGGGAUCUCCAGGUUGGUUAAGCAGUGUUCAGUAAGUGAGGCAAGUUGAAAGGAUGAAUUAGGAUGGUUCAGAAUAUAGCAAGAUCUCAGAAUAGGAGCCAGGAUCAGAUGUCUUGUCCACUUCAGGGCACAAAUUUCAAUCAAUGUAAAGGCCUUAAAACAGAGACUCCAGGGUUAACUAAUGUUUUAAAGCUCCUAGCAGCAUGUUUACUAGAACUAUGUAAAGACGUGUUGUACAAGCAGGUUCCAGCAAUUCUCCUGAAAGAGAAAAUACAGAGAAAAAGCCCAAGCCAAUCACUCCUUCCAAGAAAAGCAGGAAAAGAGAACCACUAACUUAAUUUGUAAUGGAAAAGAGACAAGAUGACUUGUGUUAUUAUUGUGGUGAUACAGGACACCGAAUUACUAAAUGUCCCAGAAGACCUCCUGUAAGUGAUAAUCCUAAUAUACAGACCACAGAAACAACCACUCCUUUGUGCAAAGACUAUAACUACAGCACUUCUGAUUUAAACAAAGCUGACAUACAUACAUACCCUCUCUCAGUUGAUUCCCUAACAUUUCCUGAUUCAGAUAAGGGAUCUGUAGAGAUGGACUAUAACGUUCCGCCUUCAGAUGGCAUGGGUUCAGAGGAAUAGUUUAUGAACGACUGUCCUGAACCAAUGGCUUUUGCAAUGACUACCUCUCCUAUCAUCCAGUCAAAACAAAAACCUCCAUUUGAUGCCCCUGGUCUUGUAAAAGCCAGUGAUGGUACUAUAUUGCCAAGAAGGGAACUGAGGGAUUAUGAAACCCUUCUAAAAAGAAUGGGAUUUGUGGAUGGAAAACCCCGUGAGAGAUCCUACAAACAAAACCUUAUCAAUUCUUCCAUACAGCCAGCAACUAUAAGUAUAAUGAUAACAUCACCAAAAGAACCCACCUCUACACUACAGAUGAAAGAAAAUACCAUAACCAAAGAAAUGCCUCUUGAUUGCGUAAAGGCCUCAAACGGUAAAGUUGUACGUCGAAAAGACUUAAACCUGUUUGAAGAGAUGCUAAAGGACAAAGAAAAGAAAAAGAAACACAUGAGAGAAAUAAUGCAUUCUAAUUUGAUUUCUGUUUACUGUGGACUGUAUAUAACUUCUUUUGUUUUUGCCUCAGACCUUCGCGUUUGGAGUCAGCUCUUUAACCCCUUGACGACCGAUGACGGUUCAGGACCGUCAUCGGUAACAUACCGUUAAGGACCGGUGACGGUCCUGAACCGUCAUAACGGUAACACGUACUUGCCAGAUCACAGUCGUUCCCCCGGCGGCGAUCGGCAGUCUCCCCAUGGUGAAUUAGGACCCCUGGGGCCAUGAGGGCGACUGCCUGUGUGUAAAAUAAUUAAAAAAAAUAAUGUUAAUGUUAAUAAAAAUAUAUAAUUAUAUAUGUGUAUUUAUAUGAUAUAUAGACAUAUAUUAUCUUUAUAUAAUAUAUGUCUAUAUAUCAUAUAUAUAUAUAUAUAUAUAUAUAUAUAUAUAUAUAGUCAUACUAAGUGUAUUUUUAUAUUAAAAAUACACUUAUAUGUAUAUAUAUUAUAAAAUACAUAUAAGUAAAUUAAAUUAAAUUUUUUAAAAAAUAAUAAAAAAAUUAAAAAAUAUUAUAUAUCUAUAUGAAAUUUUAUUCUAACUGUAUUUUGAUAUUAAUAUAUAUAUUUAUAUCAAAAUACACUUAGAACGAAAUUAUAUAUAUAUAUCUAUGUAUAUAUAAAUAAAUAUACCAUAUACAAAAUGACAUAAAUAAUUAUAUAAAUAUACACGUAGACUUCAAAUAUAUAAAUAUGCAUAUAUAUUUAAAUUCUAUGUGCGUAUUUAUGUAAUAUUUUUACAUAAUUAGGUAAUUUUAUUGAUUGCAAUUUGAGGGACCUGCCUGACAACCCAGGCCGAAAGUCCAGAGAAUUUAAUUUGCUAGCACUGUAUUUUACCCUGUAACUUUCUAUGACACCCUAUAACCUGUACAUGGGGGCUACUGUUUUACUUAGUAGACUUCGCUGAACACAAAUAUUAGUGAUUCAAAACAGUAACAUAUCACAGCGAUGAUAUUGUCAGUGAAAGUUACUUUUUUCACACACAAACAGCACUUUUACUGAUGAUAUAAUUGUUGUGAUACGUUUUACUGUUUUGAAACACUAAUAUUUGUGUUUAGCAAAGUCUCCCGAGUAUAACAGUACCCGCCAUGUACAGGUUUUACAGCGUUUGAAAAUUACAGGGUCCAAUAUUAGGGUCAAAUAUUUUUACAUUGAAAAUUGCCAGGUUGGUUACGUUGCCUUUGAGAGCGUAUGGUAGCCCAGGAAUGAGAAUUACCCCAAUGAUGGCAUACCAUUUGCAAAAGAAGACAACCCAAGGUAUUGCAAAUGGGGUAUGUCCAGUCUUUUUUAGUAGCCACUUAGUCACAAACACUGGCCAAAAUUAGCAUUUGAUUUAUUUAUUUUUUACUUUUUUCACACACAAACAAAUAUGAACGCUACUAAAAAAGACUGGACAUACCCCAUAUUGAAUACCCUGGGUUGUCUACUUUAAAAAAAAUAUGUACAUGUGGGGUGUUAUUCAGAGAUUUAUGACAGAUAAUAAUGUUACAAAGUCACUAUUGAUACAUUUUAAAAAUAUAUAUUUUGAAACAGCAAUUUCCUAUUUGUACUUAUAGACCUAUAAGUACAAAUAGGAAAAAAGCAAAAAAGCACGCAAAUACUGUGUGUUUUUAAACUCAGGACUCAAAAUUUUGAAUCUAUUUAGCAGUAUUCAUAAUGCUUUCCUAUGGACGCUGGCGUGCUCUCACUGUGAAGCACGCAAGCGCCUCCAGUGGCUGUCAAUGAGACAGCAACUAGAGGAAAUAGGGGAAGGCUUAAGCCAUUCAUAAACAUAGCAGUUUCUCUGAAACUGCUAUGUUUAUGAAAAAAUGGGUUAACCCUAGCUGGACCAGGCACCCAGACCACUUCAUUCAGCUGAAGUGGUCUGGGUGCCUAGAGUGGUCCUUUAAGGAGGGGGAUGUGUUAUAUUCAUUCAAAACUUUUACCUUUCAGUCAAUUAGUUCCAGAGGCAAUUCCUGUUUUCCCACUAGCCACCAGUGUAACCAAAAACACUCUUACCUGAAUAGCAUGAUCAUCCAAACAGGAUGAGGCCACACCCGACUUCAAAGGGUACAUUUACAUUGAUUAAAGUUUGUGCCCUGAAGUGAACAUGACUUCUUAUCCUGGCUCCAACUCUGAAAUCCUGAUACCAUCUGAAAUAUCCUUAUUCAUCCUUUUCAACCUGCCUCACUUACUGAACAGUGCUUAACCAACCUGGAGAUCCUGAUCGUCUAUUCCUACCAGCUUUAGUCAAUACUGGACUUUUUAUUGAAAAACUCUGCUGUACAACCUCCAAGCUAAAGAGACUGAUACUCUAAAUGUCAAACUUAUCAGUACUACUUGUUUCUUUAUAUUGUUGUAUAUAAUUGCCAUGUAACCUAUAAUAUCUAUUAUAGGUUUUCCUUCUCUUCUCCUUCAUACUCCCUAUAAUUUUGUUUAUAGACUCUCCUUCAUACUCGCCUAUAAUUUCGAUUAUAGGUUCUCCUUCAUAGUCGCCUAGAAUUUCGUUUAUAGGUUCUCAUUUGUACUCACCUAUAAUUUCGUUUAUAGGUUCUACUUCUACUUCUCUCUCACAGCCUGUAUCCUGAUAACCUGCUUAGUGCAUAUUGCCUAAACCUCUGUUUCUGUUGUCUUUCCUUAUAUUACCUAUAACUUCAUUUAUAGGUUCUAUUAUCUCCUUUCGUCUGUAUUGUUUCCUUUACCCCUUAAGUUCUGAUAUUCUUAUUAUUUUCUUGUCAAAUCAUGUCUAAAGUUCAAAAUAAAAAACAUAAAGUCCUGAUAAAAACCUGAUGCAAAACCUUACACAAGGUGUGUGUGUUAUUGUGUGCAUCUGAAUGUGUGUGUAUGUGUGUUUCAAGACGUGUGUAAUUGUGUGUAUCUGAGUGUGUAUCUGUGUGUCAAAGUGUGUGCAUGUGUCAGUGGGUAUUCGAAUGUGUGUAUGUGUCAGUGUGUUCAUAUGUGCGUAUCUGUGUGUUAAUAAGGAUGUAUAUAUGAGUGUGUAUGCAUGUCUGUUAGUGAGUGUGUCUCUUAGUGACUGUGUGUUUCUGUCAAGGUGUGUGCAUGUGUCAAGGUGUGUAUCUUUGUAUCUGUGUGUGUGUGUGUCAGUGGGUAUUCGAAUGCGUGUAUGUGUCAGUGUGUCCAUAUGUGUGUAUCUGUGUGUUAAUAAGUAUGUAUAUCUGUGUAUGUAUGUAUGUGGCAGUGCAUCUGCAUACAUCCCAGCAAUCAAACACCACUACAAAAUGAAACACAAACAUUACAUCCAAACACACCCCUGCAUGCAAAUGCAAUAAUUAUAUCCAAACACACCCCUGUAUUAAAAUGCUAAAGUUAUACACAAAUCAACUUUACACACAAAACCACACCUGCUCCUAAGUAUUACAAUCUGUUUACUACCUGUAGAAAUUAGUGUACGUAUACCAAAAAUCAGUUACUACAAAAAAAAAAGCGAAAACAUAACAAUCUGCUUAUUAAAAGUUUCACACUAUGUUGCAAAAUAUUUUUGGGGUUCCACAAUGUUGGUACAUUAUGACAAAGGGUUCCACAGGUAAAAUUAGUUGGGAACCCCUGUCUUAGAGCUUCAUUCUGAAAUAUUUAUAACAUAACAGUUAUGGUACAUAAAACACAAUAUGUAGAACAUAGUAUCGAUAUACUGAAAACCUCAAAAUAUAAAUCUUCACAAAUCAUUUAUGUAUUAUUGCAGGGGCUUUUAUCCUAUGAGGUGUGCCUCCCCUGGGGAGGUGAAAAGGUGUUAGUGGGGAGGUGUGACAUUCCUCAUUAAUAUUUUUGUAAUUUAGUUUAGAGUAGUUUAGAGUCCCGAUACCCAGAUUAAAAAAAUGUCAGAGGCAUCUGCAUAAUCAAAAAUUGUAUAAUUGAAGUGUUUGGUACAACAAGGACUGCUGUUAUUGUGUACGGUUGUGUUCGGUAAAAUGACGACUAACUGUCUAACUAUGCUCAAUAUGGGUUCACAUGCUACUUGGCCUUGAAUUGAAAAACUGCUGGGUUUUAUGCACUAACAUUAAUAAUAUAUUAUAAGAAUAACAAUUCCACGUCAAUUACGUAAUUUAUCCAUUAUUAUUUGAUUUCGGAAAGGAGGGGAGGUAUGAAUUUUAAGUUUACUUACGGGGAGGUGUGAGACUAAAAAGGCUAAGAACCUCUGUAUUAGUGGCUCUUAGAAGAUGAUGGGUUAAAUCAUUCUCACAUAUUUAAAAUAAAAAUAACUUCCUUGUUAGUAGGAUUACACUUUUUGAGCUAGCACAGAACAGUGUUUAUUUAUGAUGUUGAAAAACUUGGCAAAGAACACUUGCUUUAUCCUAAUAGAGAAAGCGGUGACAGUCCUUUAUGAUCAGUGACAUAUAAACUCGCUUCUGAUACAGAAAGAAUGAAGACUCCACAAACAGAAAACCUGUUGAAUUCCCCACUCCUCACCACCAUUCCCUAAUUAUUUCAAUGUGAGUUCUCUGGGAUAACUGUAGAGAAGAGUUAAACUUUAAAUAGCAAAAGUGGACUGUACGGUUCCUCCAACAAAUUGGGCAAUCAGAAUCAUCUGAGAUUUCCAUUCCAUUUUAGUAGCACAAGAAAAUAAAUAACUUACUGUUUUCAUCCAACACAGGCACUCAAGAAAAUACACAUAUCAAAGGACAAUGUUACAAGCCACCAGUAAAGGAACACUCUGGGCACCAUAAUAACUACCGAAUUAGGCAGUGGAGCCGCUGAUUGGCUAAGAGGCAGUGGAACUGCUCUCAGGCAAUCAGUGACUCCCCACCCAUUCAUAAAAAUCCUCCUAAAAAACCCUUCUGUAACCUACCCGAUUCGAGCGCUUAUUCAGAUUCUGCCUCCGCAAAUGUUUUAUGGGGUAUUGGGUGGCGUGGCGACGUCCGGCAUCAAUUAGGCGACCAAAAGUUGCUUAACCACCUGGAAGGCCCUCUAGUGGCUCUCUGGUAGACAGCCACUAGAGGUGGAGUUAACCCUGCCAGGUAAUUAUUGCAGUUUAUUGAAAACUACAAUAAUUACUAUUGCAGGGUUAAGGGACCUAGAACACUGCACCCAGACCACUUCAAUGAGCUGACGUGGUCUGGGUGCCUAUAGUGUCCCUUUACCAUCUAAUCUUCUAUAUGAUGUUAUUUAAAUAAGGAAUUCACUUUUAUUUCAAACUGAUGUGUAAUUAUUUGAUGUUCCUAUGGACAAUUCACUGAUCUUCACAGAAGAUUUCAUUCUAUUCAAGCCUGAACCAGGACAACCUAGGAUCUUUAUAUAGAUGUAAGAAGAACCACAUGGAAAUACGUAAAUAAAAAGAUGGGAUUUCUAGAGCUUGUUCAAAGUCUAUGUAGCAUCUCGGACUUCUCAAUCAAGUCUCUUCCUUCUGGCUGUAGGUAGAAUGCAGGGAAGUAGUCUUCACAAGUGUCAUUUUUGAUGCUGGUGGAUAUGCAGAUCUUGGUCUCAGUCUUAAUUUUGUGUGGAAAGGUAUCCUGAGGCCAGUCAGCACUGUGUAGUGGUCAGCAUUUGUAGUGGUCUCUUUCAAUGUGCCAUUUUAUCACAGUAAAAGUUCACACAUACAUAAAAUGAAAACAAAAGCAGAAGAUAGUGCUCUCUGUAUAGCUAACAGAAUAUCUAAGUAAAUAAUGAAAGGAGGUAUGCUCACAAACGGAGCACAGUUCAAUCCUAUAUAGUUUAGGUGGUAUAUUCCUAACCUAGGAAACCAAAGUAUGAAUCCUCCAGGCAAAAAUCUUCAUAGAUAAAAACAGGAAGGUCCAAAUUUGAUUUAUAGCCAAACUAAUAAAACCAAAAGUAUAGUAUAAAACAACAAUAAAACACUAACGCAAAAGUGAAACAGCUCAUUGAUUUACAGCUCAUUAGCAAGCACAAUAUAUAUGUAUUACAAACUAUAAUUCCACAAGCACUACAUGCCACUUGAACAUGUGUCACUCAUGUCUAAUCAAACAAAUUAUAUGUGAUGAAAUCAUUUUAUUGCAACACCACUACUGAUGACAUUUCCUUUACUCACUCUGAACACUUGCAUGUAUUAUUGAUUUUGAGUAACUUAUUCAAAGGGAGAUGAUUCAGGGUUUAAAGGUAAACGCACCAUUACAGUUAACGCUGAGGGAAAGAAAGAGGCUUUGACUGGCCCACCUCAAUCCUGUUUUUAACUGUGCCUAUGUUUAGUGACAUUUUCUAUUAAGGCAUUUAAUUUAUCAAAUAAACUCAGGUUGCAUUAACAGGGGAAUUUACUGCCUAAUUACACUGAUCACUUAUUUUAUUAAUUUAAAGGGACACUCCACAACUACAAAAAGUAGUAAAGAUAUCCGCUAAGAAAACAUGUAUGCUUUUAAUCAUGCAUUUUUUCAUUGAGACAUAUCUAAUAACAGCUUGCUAAAAUGCACAUCUCUUGUCUGUAGCCAUUGUAAGCCCUCCUCUUCUAACCCCGCCCAGACUUUCUGUGGCUGUCCAAUCACGGACUUCCCAAAGCAGUUCAAUGAGAAGUCUUUGCAAGGCAGGUGCUCAAUUGCGGCCUCUUGAGUUUAGCUCAACUGAUCUAAACAAACCAGGAAGCAACAGGACCAAUUGUCUAAGUGACACAUAAGGGAGUGUAUGAAGGUUAAUCUUUAAAACUACCAAUUCAUAUCAAAAUCUGUUCUUUCUGUUCAAAUCUGUUUUUUCCCCCCUCCUUUUUAUUGCGUGAUGCUUCCCAAUAUAGUCACCUGUUAACCGACAAGGAAAGGCCCCUAUUCCUCGAUUCUCACUUGCUUUCCUGACAGUAUAACCAGGCUAAAGUUACAGUAAAACACAGCAACCAGAGCCAGGUGUCUAAGUUCCACCUUAUUUUAGAAGAUGAAUGCAUGCAAAAUCUCAAGAUGAAAAUUGCAUGAAUUGGAGACUGAUAUGGGAGUAAAAGUGAGAUCAAAGUUGAAAAUAAUAAUAAGGGGACCUCGGGCUUCAGGGGUUGUGUUGGGAACAAAGUUAUUGCUGAACCUUCAUCAUUUUUUAUAACAAAUUUAUCAUCUUUUAUAACAAAUUUACCAGGUACAAUUAAUUAGAUUUUUCUAUAUAUUUAUAGUAUAUUCAGAUGAUAAAUUUUGCAUUAUUGUUAUAUACAGCCUAUUUAAAUACUUAUUAAAUGAGUCUGGUUGUACCAUAAUCUAUCCUUGACCAAAAAGCUACGUAAAUCCAAUUGGAUUGCAACAGGAUUUACAUAACUGACUAGUCAUCAUAGUUUAUAGCAUUGUAAAAUGUGCUCCUCCUGAAUAUUACACACAGAGAGACAUAAUUCCUCUCUGUUCACUUGAUUGUUGAAACAAAUUGUAGCACAAAGGGAUAUUAUAGUUAUCAAAACAACUUUAGCUUAAUGAAGCAGUUGUGAUGUAUAGAUCAUUCCCCUGCAGUCUUAUUGCUCAAUUCUCUGCCAUUUAGGAGUUAAAUCACUCUUGUUUCUGUUUCUGCAGCCCUAGCCACACCUCCCCUGCCUGUGACUCACACAGCCUGUAUGAAAAACAAUUGUUUCAUUUUCAAUCAGAUGUCAACUUGUUUUAGAAGCUUUUAUCUCCUGCUCUGUAAAUUGAACUUUAAUCACACACAGGAGUAUCCUGCAGGCUCUAUAAUACUACUAGCAGAGUGAGAUGAAACAUCCUAGAGUAAACAGAAUGUGCAGUACCGGAACCUAGGUUAUUUUUCUGGAAGUGUUUAGGAAGAAUGUGCAAGUCACAUGCAAGGAGGUGUGACCAGGACUGUAUAAACAAAGUGAUUUCACUUCUAAAUGGCAGAGAAUUGAGCAGUGAGACGUGAUCUAUACACCAAAACUGCUUAAUUAAGUUGUUUUGGUGCCUAUAGAGUCCCUUUAAGGGUGCCUUUGAUGGUACUCACCAUCACUGGAAGCAUAGGGCUGACACUCCAUGUAGGCCCCUGGAUGACUGUUAUGUUUGAGUCACCCUGUGCCCAUUAUAGGUAUUGUUAAAUUAGAGGAAUGUUUUGUAAAAUAUCCUGUCUGGCUAUGGGACCUAUGCAGCACCACCUGCUGGUGGUAAAUGAGUCUGCUACAGUUAUGUGUAGCACCGCCUGUUGGUUGCAACAGUUCAGUGCAUUAACUAAAAAACAAGACUUGUUCAUUUUCAUAGUGUGAGUUGGUGAAAGACAUAUUCCGUUUGUGUUUCUCUUUCCAAAUCCUUGUAUGAAUAUUUUAUUAUGUUAUUAUUUUUAUGUUGUUUAUUACCUGUUAUUUAGACUUUGUAGUACUUAUUAUUUUACUUGUGCAUGUCACCACAUUUUUAAGGUUAAGUCAAAAACUGCUGGUCCUUAUUCAAAAUAAAAUGUUGUGUGGUAGUUCCAUUGUCUUGCCUGGUUUGUUUGGCGAUUUCAGUAGCAGAGUUUUCAAACCUGCUUGUUGGUUGUACUAUUCCCUGAUCCAUAUUAAGAAAGAGCUAGGCAUGAGUUCCACAAGUGCCUUUGUAAAGGCAGUAGGUGAAAGCAUGACAGGCAGAAGACAGGAUUCCAGAUUGGGAGAAGGACAGGUAGAGGGGGUAUACCUGCCUGGGAGACGGAGGCAAGGGCACAAGGGUCUAUACCUGCUUUGGAGGACAACCUCUUCUGGAGGUCAGCCCUGCUGAAGUCUCUGUAGCUUCUGGUUUGACCCCUGGUCUCAGUAACGAACGGUCUUCGCUGGUAGCCCCACAUCCCCUGUGGAAUUUUGUCACAGUGGCAGUAAGAGGAGCCAGCAAAUUUUUAGCAAAUUGGCAAUUACUAACAAAUGUUCUGCUUCCUUUAACUAAACCACAUUUCCAAGACAACAGUUCAAAAUCCUCAAUUCCAAGUGUAUUUGUCUAGACACAGAACACAGAAUCUUUAACUUUUUGAAUACCUGCUCCUGAACCCUGAAUCCAAAGAAUGUCAGUAACUAUGUUGUAUUCCAACACUUGUCAAUACUCCUUUAUAUGUUGAAAUUUGAAUUUUUAUAGAAUUCUGUCAAAUAUGUGACAGUCAUUUUGCUUUAUUUCUCUAUAUAUUCUUUUUUAACUACUGCUUGUCUCAUUUGGUUUUGCUCAUCACAUUUCUUUCUUUUCUCUGUUUUUUUUUUUUAUUAUUUCUAUGCCAAACUUUAUUGUGAAAAUACAUUUGCACCAUUGUAUGUUUAAGGUCAUGGAAUUAAAAACAAUGACAAUACGAGAUUAGCCCUGUUUCUAUCUGUGUCUCAUGGCACUAGAGCAGCAAGUUUGAAGCCAGUCCUUUUAGUCCCAGCUUCAUGAAUAUGCCAUAGGGACAGAGCUGAGCAAUCACUAAAUCCUGAACCUAUGGGUUGUGUCAGAAUUGAUCUGAACACCACUGCCUUUGGGAUUAAAGGAUCACUAUAGUGCCAGGAAAACAAACUCGUUUUCCUGGCACUAUAGUGUUAAUAGGUCCCUCCCACCCUCAUGGCCCCCCUUCCGCCGGGCUCAAAGGGGAGGAAGGGGUGAAAGGCUUACAUAUCUCCAGCGCUGGGGACUCUCCUCCUGACGUCAUCGGCUGAAUGCGCAUGUGCGUCAAGAGCCGCUCGCGCAUUCAGUCAGUCCAUAGGAAAGCAUUCUCAAUGCCUUCCUAUGGACACUGGCAUCUCGGAAGCGCCUCUAGCGGCUGUCAAUGACCUGGCACCCAGACCACUUCAUUAAGCUGAAGUGGUCUGGGUGCCUAUAGUGGUCCUUUAAGGAUUUGACACUCCUGAAUUAGGUUGUCAAGUAUCAAAACAUCUUAGAAAUUACUUUGAUAGAUGCAUGUACAAAAUGUUAAAGAAACACUCCACAUCCAUGAAGCACGUUAGCUUGUGUAAUAGCAGUAAUACAUUAAAAAAAGCAAAACAUGAUUUAAAUUUAUAAAAAGAAGAAAAAAAAUCUAAACAUGAAGACACAUAAAUAUAGUUUCAACUUACUUUGUUGCUUUGCAGUUGACUGCUUACUUUGCAAGCAUACAGGGAGUAUGCUACAUUUUACAAUUAAUUCUCACUGCCUUUAGAAAUAACACUGUAUAGCUUUUUUUCAUAACCACUUCCUCCUUUGGGAGAGUGCUACACAGCUGGGGUUGAGCAAAAUCUGGAUUAUGGAUAACUCCUUCCCACCACUGUAAAGUAUGUAAUCCUGUGGUAUGUCAUCAUCAGAGAGACCAAAACUAUUUAUAAAUGCAAUUCGGCUUACAGCUAGUUAUGUUCCUGCCAUUUAGGGCAGGGUUUCUUAACUCCUGGAUCUUGAUUUAAAAUCGGGUCCCUUAUUAUAUGUAUUUAAUGUCUUUGUUUGUCAAUAUGUCUACGUACUCUAUUGUCUAAAAUGUAUUUUAUAAAACUAAUAAAAAGAUUAAAUAUGCUAUUUUAUUCAGCCCUCAAUAUUCACAAUAGGCUCAUCAUUGUCAUGUAUUUACUAACUAUAAAUAAUUUACGGUAGCAGCACUGCAUUCCCUGGUGCCGUGGAGGCUAUUUUGAUACUAGAAAAAGAUUUUUGAAGAGUUUCAAAUAAUUCAUUAUUUUACGUAUUCAUGUCUCUACUUAGUUUUAGUGCCCCACCCCAGCCUGCAAAAAAACAAACAAACAUAAACAAAUUAACCUCCUUUCAAGUGUCAUGUCUCCCAAGGCCUCCUCCUAGCGUGAUGUCAUCCUGGAUGAUGGCCCUCGCCGUGAUGAACCUAUGAUUCUUGCAUGCAAUAAUUUUCUAUGGAAGACUGUGAUGGCACAGCGUGUGUGAGCAUGACGUCACAGUAUGAUAGGGUAUGAGAGCCAGGAUUUACAGUCCUGGCAAUCAUACCCAGAGGGCUUUGAGACGUGGAUUAGAGCUGUGCUUCCAAGCCUUGUAAAUACUAAAAUAUUUUGAUAUGGGGCCAUUAGGGAGGGUGCACCAAAUGUAGGCACUUAAGCACCUUCAUAACAAUAGUGAGUGCAGUGUUCCUUUAAUUUUAAAAUGGAAUAAUGGUUUACCAAGCUAAUACCAAGGACAUAAUAUGUCCCUUAUCAAAGUUUAAGAGACACUAAAUUAAUGGUGUAAUAAUGUGCUUUCAACCAGCAUUUGGGCAAACACAAUAUAUCAGUUUCUCUGGAAAGCAAAAUAAAUGCUUAUAAUCACGGAUCAAGUAUAUUCUUUCAAUUUUAUCACAUUGAUCACACACAUUAUACAUUUAAACAUGGAAACUGUGAAUUAUAACCACUUUAGAGCAUUCUCACAAGUGCAAUAUUUUACUGGAUAUUUAAAUACAAGGCUCAGUGGUGGAACUACAGCGGUCGCAGGGGUCGCAUUUGUGACCGGGCUAGUCACUUCAGGGGGCCCGACCUCCCUGCAGACCCCUGUGACUAGGUGCCUGCCGGCCAUGUGUUGCGGGUCCGGCCCGCGCGGUGGAACCGCCGGGGUUACACGUUAAGGGGCCAAGGCUGUUAGGGCCACCUGAUGGAAAUGAAUUUCAAGGGGGCCCGGUCAGUGCUGCUGCACUUUAACAGCACGACAGGGCCCCCUAUGAUGACAUCAGACGCUGGGAGGAAGUGACUGCCCUGGUCACUUCCUCCCAGCAACCACUGGGAGCCGCGUGGGAGGAAGAGGGAGAGGAGAGAGUCAGAGUGGGAACUCUGACUCCCAUCAGGCUGAGCCACUGGACCCAAGGGAAAGUCGCCCUCCUGCAUUUAAAAGGUAGGAAACAGGAGAGUGACUUAAACAUUUUGUAUGUGUGUCUGUAUAUAUAUAUAUAUAUAUAUAUAUAUAUAUAUAUAUAUGUAUUUAUGUGUGUAUGUGUGUCUGUAUGUAUGUAUGUAUGUGUAUAUGUCUGUGUGUAUGUAUGUAUAUCUGUAUGUAUGGGUCUCUGUGUAUGUGUUUGUAUGUGUGUCUGUAUGUAUGUGUGUGUUUGUGUAUAUGUGUGUUUGUAUGUAUGGUGUAUGUAUGUGUAUAUUUUUGUCUGCAUGUGUGGGGGGGAUGUAUGGGGGGAGGGGCUCAGGACAAUUUUCACACUGGGGCCCUGUGGUUUCUAGUUACACCUCUGACAGGGCCCCACUCCUGAAAGCCUAGUUCCUCUUGGGAAGCAGAUAUCUGGUCUCUUUAUCCUAAAAUAGUGAUCAUAUUAUAAUUGAUAAAAAAAAUAUUUGGUGUGGAUUAGUGUAUAAAAGAGCUUCUUCACAAUGAAAUGCUGCCAUGAAUGCCUUUAGAAAUGUUUGUGUAAAUAACAUAUAUGAUUUCUGUUUGUGUGAUAUAGUGCAUUGGUUUAACCAAGAAUCAAUAGUUCAUGAAGUCACCUAAACAACUUACUUAAUGCUAUGUCCUGUUGCCUUUUAUGGUCCAUCUCUAGACCCUCCUUCUAAAAUAACUGUUGUUAAAGCACUUGAGCAAGCUCUUCAAUCAUAAAGUAUAAUUGAAGGAGGCUGGGCUAUGUGGCUAGUGCCAAAUCUAGCACAACUACCUCCUCCUUCCCCCCAUGUCAAGCUGAUCCUUAUAUACAGUACCAGUACAUGGCUUUAACUACAAGAAAUGACCGCGUCUUAAUUUAAAUACACCAAAGAAUUGUAUGGGGAAGGUGAUGUAAAAUAUGCCUGUGUUUGGCAGGAUGGUCUUAAAGUCGGGUUCCAGAGUUCCCAUAAUGUAUAGCACAAGCAAGUUUUUAGAAAUGCUCACACUAACUGUAUUUAGAAUACUGAGCCAAUGGGCAUAAUGCUCUGCUUAUGUGCAGCCCUGUGAAGGGAAGGUCAGCACAAUGAGCAUGCCAGGCUGAUAUGCCACUUUUUUCAGACAGGGCUAUCUCUUUUGGUAUUGCCAGUGACACAAAUUGUAUCACAAGCAUACCCUAUUCGUAUUUCCCUCCAUCUCUGUCCAUGUUUAAUAGUUUCCAAUGUUCUGACUUACAUGCAAGCAAAUAAGAUUCUCUGGAGGGAUAAUGGGGCAAGUGAAUGGUCACCACAUAGUCUUGCAAAUGGGGUUGUGGUCUUGCAAAAACUACAGUCCUUGUACUUCAUAGUGUAAUGACAGGCCACAUUUCAGAGUUCAAAUUUCAAUAUUCAGAUUUUUAGACUUUGUUUGAACUCAUAAUUUAGUUAAUCUGUCAAUGCAAUGCAAUCUACUAUUCUACAAACCAAUUGAGACAAAAGCCGACAAAUCCAGUUCUACCAAAAAUAUAGACUUUUUUGAGGUUCAAAAGAACGCCAUCUAAACCACUGUGAAGUCAACUUAUGUUUUCUUCUCUACAAAUAUCACAUGAGCAAUUGGGAUGACUAGUUUUACUAAUUCAGGAAAGGGCUGUUCUUUUGACAUGCUCCCUUUCUAAUCACUCAAUAUGUAAGUAGUAAAUCUAACCAACACAGCAGGCUGGUUUUAUUUAAAAAAAAAAAAAAAAAAAUCCUGAACAUCUUAUAUACUUACUGGCCCUUGCAAUUACUAUUAUUAUUAUUUAUAAAACACCAACAAAUUCCACAACACUGUAUAAUGGAUGGACUAGCAGACAAGUAUUUGCAACAAGUCGAGUUGGACACACAGGAACAGAGUGUGCUGAAGGCCCUGCUUCACCAAGUUUACAUUCUAGAGCAGUGGUUUCCAACCCUAUCCUCAAGUACCCCCUAACAGUCCAGGAUUUAGGGAUUACCCUAUUCUGUCCAUUGGUGGAUCCGGGGGGGGGGGACACAACGGAGCAAUUGCCCCCCCGAGAUUCUCACCUGCCGACUAAUGCAGGGCUGGCAUUGUCCAAGCGCCAGCCCUGCUAUGUGCCUGCGGACACCCUCCCCCCCGGUCCUCAGGCACAUUUCUGACAGCUGGCAGGGGAGGGAGAGAGGACCCGGGAGCUCAGUCUGCAGCUCCUCCGGGUCCUCCUCUAGCGAGCACGGAGCGUUGCCUCGGUUACCACGGCAACGCUCCAAAUCUUGCGAGAGUGAACUCUAGCUCUGGAGCGUGGGCUAGACUUCACUCCACACUGGAACCACCAGGGAUUCCCACUGGGACCACCAAGGACGGAGAAAUGUCCCCUCUUCUCCUCAAUAAAGGUAAGAAGGGAGGGGGGGGGACAUCAAUAUAUUUAUUUUAUUAAAUACAUUUUUUUUUAUUAAAAAGCCUCCCUACCCUCCUCCCCCCAUACACAAAUACACUGCCCCCCAUACACACACACACACACUGACGCCAUACACACACACACACACUGCCCCCAUACACACACACACACUGCCCCCAUACACACACCGCACACCCAUACACACACUGCCCCCCAAUACUGCACACCCAUACACACACUGCACCACAAACACUGCACACCCAUACACACACAGACACAUACAGUGCCCUACACACACAUUGCCCCACACACACACAACCCCACUAUACAUACAGUACCCCCCAUACACACACUGCCCCCACACAUAAAGUGCCCUCCUCAUACACACACUGCCCCACACAGACAUACAGUGCCCCAAACACACAUACAGUGCUCCCCAUACACACACUGCCACCCUCACACACACACACACACUGCCCCACAUAUACACUGCCCCCUAGCACACACUGCAACCCUGACAUACACUGCCGCCCUCACGCACUCACACACACACUGCACCUUUCACACACACUUCACCCUAACACACACCACUGCUCCUAUGCCCUAUAUCCCAGCAGAACCCAGGUAAGUUGUCAAACUGUUCUUAAACGGUAUGACUACUUACUCUGGGGUGGAAUCCUGGCACUACUGGCACCAUAACUACUACACUGAGCUGUAGUGGUUAUUGUGCCAGGAUUAUUUAUUUAAAUAAUCUACAAGUGCCCCUCCCGAGAUCAGGCUCUGGAUCCGCCACUGAUUCUGUCUAAAGUGCGUUUUUUCUAAGAACACCUUAGAUACAACAAGGUAAUCCCUAAAUCCUGGACUGUUAGAGGGUACUUGAGGGCUCGGUUGGGAACCACUGUAUCUAGAGCAAUACAUAGUUUUACUCUUGUGAUGCUUGAUAGGAACCAAACAGCUAAGCAAAGACCAUAAAAGCUGGGUUUGAUAAAUUUUCACUGCAAAAUAUAAGGAUUUAAGGGAAUUGUUUGAUAUCCUGAAAAGUAUAGUAAAAUUGUGAUAAAUGUAGACUCACAAGUAAAAAAGUAUUUGAUUACUAGUGAAUCUACAUUUGUAGUGGAUCUAUUUAAAUGCCCUUCCUGCCUGAUUGAUAUCGGUGAGACCACUAAUAAAACAAAGAUCAUAUGUCUAAAUGUAGAUCAGACAUUCGCGCCAUGAAAACUCAUAAAUCAGUGCCAGCUAAUUUUUGCUCCUAUAAUCACACAGUAUCACAAAUGAAAUGACAUUGCUUAUGUAUCCAUACAGUUGUGGGGGGAAACAGACAAAACAUUUCUUUAAAUAUGGGAUGUGUUCUGGGUCCAUAAAUUGGAUUGCUUGGAACCUAAAGGAUUUUAUUGUGACUUUGAUCUUCACUUAUUUUUAUAAGUUUGGGAAUGAUAAUGUCAUAGGUUUAUUGUACAUCACAAUUAUUUUUGGUAGUGAUCAUUUUAUAAUUUUUCCUUUUUUCUCUUUAGAUUAUCAUACCAACAAGGGAUACCCUACUUUUUUUAUUUUUAUAUGUGGUGACUAUGAUGCACUGUGUGCAAAGUUACAAAUACCAGAUGUAUCUAACCAUAUUUUGUAUGCUGCAAGAGUGUAGAAUUUCGAUUGAUGUAGUUCUCAGUAUGACAGGAUAUGUCUGUCUUCCUUUAAGGACGGAGGCAAUUGUACACGUUUUAAACAAAACAAAACCUGGAAUUUGCGCUGUCUGUUCAAACACAAUUCACCUCUUUCAUAUUGUGCACCAACACUUAUUAUAUAUUAUAUGUUCAGGAGAAACAGAGCUUUCAUUUCUCAUUCAAACAUUUCGCAUGACAUUUUAACUGUAAAUAUCAUAAUACUGUUAGCUUUUGCUGCAAUAAAACACACAUAUUUGUAUUCAGCAAAGUCUCACGUGUACAACAGUAACCCACAUGUACAGGGUUUAUGGGUUUUUGGAAAGUUACAGGGUUAAAAAUAGGGCUUUCCCCAUUUACAGUUUUUACAUAUUAAAAUUUGCCAGAUUUCUUUGCUGGGCCUAUGUUUCCUUUGAGACUGUAUGGCAGCCCAGAAAUGAAAAUUAGCCCCAUCAUGGCAUACCAUUUGAAAAAGUAGACAAUCCAGGGUUUUUAAAAUGGGGUAUGCCUGGUCUUUUUUUACUAGCCACUUAGAGACAACGUUGGCCAAAGUUAGCGUUCAUUUUUAAGAUAUUUUUUCACAAAUAAACUGCCCUUUCAUCAAUGAUAUCAUCAGCAUUAUAUGUUUUAUUGCUCUUAAACACUCAUAUUUGUGUUCAGUAGUGUCUCACAAGUACAACAGUGCCCCCCAUGUCCAUGUUUCAUGGUGUUUUGGAAAGUUACAGGGUCAAAUAUAAGGCUUGCCCAUUUCCGUUUUUGCACAUUGAAAUUUGCCAGAUUGGUUAUGUUGCUUUUGAGACCGUAUAGUAGCCAAGCAAUGAGAAUUAGCCCAAUCAUGGCAUAUCAUUUCAGAAAAAAAAAAAACAACCCAGGGUAUUUAAUUAUUUUGAUUUCAUUUUCCUAGCACUAGGCAGUCCCCCUUCAGGCAUCUCCAUAGCCUGCUAUUGGACCAUUUGAUCACUCUGUGAGCGAUCACAUGGUCCCCGGGGACCUGAUUUGCCAGGUGAGGACUGCAGGGGCUGUCAGGCAGUCCUCCUAAAGAGGUUCGUGGGGAGUUGAGUUAUAUCCCACCGCAAAGACUUUAAAGAACAUUAGAAUGGGGGUGGCAUGGAAUGCUGUAACAGCAGGAAGAGGUUAAGAAGCUUUUUUGUUUAGAUCAAUCAUAAUCUAUUUUAUCACUGUGGUUAUGGUAUAUUCCACGUUUUCCAUGCUAUGUCCUUUUCUUGCUUGUGGUAUAAUGUAAAGAGUACAUUUUUAUAUAUAAUUGACUGUCUCAAUUUAGGGGCAGUAAUCAACUGGGUAUUUAAGUUGUAGAUGUUAAUUGGAUCUAAGUGGACCACUAAGUGGUGGAAUAAAUCUCCAUUUGUAAACUAGGUAGUGUUACGGCUUUCCUUACUUUAUUUUUGUACUUUGAAGGCUUUGGAGCUUCACAUCAUGCUGGAUCUCUAAAUAUGUAUACAAAGAUUUUAAAAUGGAUAUUAUGUGGGCAUACAUAAAUAAUUAAAAUAGGUUAGGGGAGCACAAACAUUCUGAGAAUUCAUAUUAUCUUUUCCUAUACAGUUAUUUAUACUAGUAUGAGACUUUGUGGACUAAUAGUUUCUAUUCAAUUCCCCCUUACACCAAUAUUCAGCAGAUAAAAUUGGACUUUUGAGAUUUAAAUCAGUUUCCUGUUGUGGAUUAUUUUAAGAAAUUCUGUACUUUCCAAAAUGCUUGAAGUAAUAUGAAGGGAGAUUUCCUGUGGUACUGUAUAAUAUGGAGCCAACACACAACUAUGCAAAGAGUGAUACAUUUCUUUACACUUAAUAGAUUACACAUCAUAGAAAAACAGUAAAAAUAUACAGUAUUUUUGCAGGCCAACUUUGUAGCCCUGUGCUUUUUAUGCCUCCCAAGUACAAUUCCUUCAGCAUCCUUUCUACCCUGCUUGUCUCAUUAUUACGAGAUCAGAGUGUUUGGUGUGAAUGAGUAUAUCAGACAGCUAAAGCAAAAUAAAACAUACAGUAAACUAUGCUAUACUGCAAUGAAUAUGUGUAUAAUUUUGCAAGUGCACAUUAAAUAAUUUUGUAUUUUUUUAAAUGGCACAUCAAAAUUCAUAAAUUAACUUUUAAUACGUGAAGAAGUUAAAUUAUUUUACCUAUCUUUCACGCUUACCACUCCAGUCUUGCUGCUUCCGCUCCUUCACUGGAUCAUUACUGAUGCUCUCAGCUAAUUCAGUGUUUCUCCUAAGUGGGGGUUUCGGGUCUACUACGCAUGUGAGGCAAUCACAGCUGCUCCUACAAAAAUUUCCUCAUAUCAAUCCGUCUAUAUGGGGCACAUUUGUGUGCUCAGGCCAGGGCCAGCCCUAGUAUGUGUGGAGCUAUGUGUAGUAUAAAAUGUAGGGCCAUGUUUACAUUUUUCCUUUCCUUAGAAAACAUUUAUAAUACCCAUUUUGGCAAAUUCAGCCAAUUUGAGCCUGUCAAUCAAGGUGCAUUGAGAGGUAUUUGCUGAUCUGCUUUGCACAUCUUGUGCAGUGUGAAUUUGAACUCCUGGAAGGCUGUCUAUUGGCUGAUUAUUGAUAGACUUCAAGGCAGUGGGUAGCUUGGGGGUGGGGGGGAAUGGGAUGUAGCACACCAUGAUCAUUAGGGGAGAUGUUUUUAAAGUCUUAAGUCUGAAACAAAUACUGAUGCAGAUCAAUUUAGAGUCAAGAGAUCAAAAUUGGACAUGGUAACCAUAAAUUGGAAUGUGUAAUAUAUUCCCCUCAGUAUUUAAAUAGAUUUCCUGAUGGGAGGGUAGAAGGAGACCAAUUUGUCACCAUUUUGGUAAAUUGUCAGACAAACAUGUUGGUAAAACACUUAGAAUAACUGAAAAGUUUUUACAUUUUCUUUCACAAGCUGCGAAGUAACAUCUAGUCUUAAUUUAAAAAAAAAUAUAUAAAGAAAGAAAGGCAAUUCCUCCCACAAAUUCCAAAAAUGCAGCAAUCUAACAAAUCAUGCAAUCUGUCUUGUGGCUAAGCAGCAACUGUCUAGCCUUCACUCAGUUAGAUUUUACUUUAAAGGAUAACAAACAUAAGCUUUCUUCCCCCCAGUUUAGGUUAAAUAACUUGGAUUCAUAUUAUGACAUUAAAUACAACUCUAAUGUACAAAAAUGAUGCUAUAUCCAUAUAUAACUAUGACCACACCAUACAAAAUACUUACACAGAUGUAUUUAAUAAUAUAAUGUAGUGUAAUCUUAUUUUGUUGUUUAGUGAGUCACCAAAAUAGAACAAUUAAUGGAGCAUCUAUUUCUAAUGUUAGAGGUACUUUUUAAAUGUUUAAUGUCAAGAGUUAAAUAAUUUUACCUAUCAUUCACCCUCACCAUUCCAGUCUUGCUCCUACCCUGUAUGAGAUCAUAAUUAUUGAUGCGCUCAGCCAAUCGAGUGGCAAUCACAGCUGCUCCAAUAAAAAUCUCCUUAUAUUUUUAUUAUUAUUAUUUUAUUACUUAUAUAGCGCCAUAACAUUCUGUAGCGCUGUACAAUGCAUCUCUAUGUAAAGCAUUUGGUGUGAUCAGGCCAGGGCCAUCUCCAGUGUGUGUGUGUGUGUGUGUGUGUGAAGUCAGAUGUAAGAUAAAAUGUGGGGCCAUUUUUUUAUUUUUCCUUUACUUAGGAAACAUUUUGAUAUUAAUUUUGGCAAGUGCAGCCAAUUGGACGCCUAUCAAUCCAGGAGGCAUUGAAAAGUUUUUGGUGAUCGGCUUUGCACAUCCUUUGAAGCGUGAACUUUAAUUUUAGCAGUCCAUUGGCUGCUGAUUGACAGCCUUCCAGGCAGAGGGUAGCUUUGCACCUUGAGUGGUUCUCACAGACUGCGGGGACAGCUAGGGUGUUUGUGGACACACACACACAUAACACACCAUGGUUGUUGCAUAAUACAUAUACCACAGGGGCUGUAUUGUGUGAAGUAGAUAAGAACUGUAGGUUGUGCCGAGGGGAAUUAAGGUUGUAGUGUGUGAAUGGGGCAGUUGUGGGUGCAUUGGAGGGAUGGGGAUGUUGUGGGUGCAGGGGAGAAAUUUGGGCUGCAGAGAGUGCGGGGGGAUAUGUGCAAUUGUGGAUGUGGUAGAGGGAUGUCAAGGCUGUAGUAGAUGUAGGUGGUGGAUAGGUACAGGUGAAGGUGGGAUAGAUAUUGUAGUGGGUGCAGGGGGGCUAUAGUGGGUGCAGUUUACGGAUAGAGGCUGUAAAUGUGGGGGGAUAGGGUAGCAAUAAUAAAAAACAAUAAUAAUAACUUCAUGUUCUCCUCUGUUCUUCUUACCUUUGGCCAGUAAGCUCCGCCAUUGUGCUAUGUUAAAACGUUGCCAUUGCAACUCAUAGCAAUACUCCGAACUGCCGAUCUUGUGAGAUAAAUAUUUUGCACCAGGUCUGAGAUAUAGGCUAUAGUCUAAUGAGUCCCCCCUCUUCUGCAGUAAGGUAUCCUGAGCCAAUCAGGGCAAUCUUGGAUAAUUAGCUUGUUAGUGCUGACAGUGGGAAAAUAGUACUUAAAAUUAUCAUUCAACUUGCUGGAUACAUUCGAUCCCAAAUUUAUUUAAAAUCGGUAAUUUGUGGAUCUUCUGAGUCCUAUACUUUGUAUAUGUGCACAAAUUUUAAUCCAGACAGUGGCGAUUACUGGGGAUUCGCUUGGGCUAACCGACUACAUUUGGCUUGGAGUAAAUAUGAGAAUUGUCAAUGCGGCCACAAAAAAGACAUUUCCAACAGAUUCUGUCCACCCGACAAAUUCUGGUGUUAGAGAAUAUCCCCGUAAAUUGUAUCCGAGAAAGACAAGAUAGAUUAUGUAGUCAGACAGACAAAUAGAUAGAUUAGAUAGCUAGAGGAUAUAAAAACCUUUCCACAAAUUACACAAUACAAUACACAAAGAUUACAGGAAAGAAAAUCCUUGCAAAAUUACAGCGAUUAAGUGAUUAUUAUUUGAUUUUUUUUCUUUUUUAAAUCUGAGCAUUGCACUAUACAAAUGGUUAGCAGAUGUGCAGUUAUUUCAAUAUUUAUAAAACAUAACCUGACACGUCUGGGCUUCAGCUCAGCUCUGUACCACAACAACAUUUGUGGGGAUAAUGUAUCUUACCAAACAUCAUGCGCAGAAAGCAUUAAGGGGAAUGACUGAAAAUCAUGCCAGGUCAAGAGCAUGGCCACAGGGAACAUCUGUGCUUCCAAAAGCUGUAGGUGCAAAUAUGUGAAUGUAUGUUAUAAUAAAUAUGUAAAUCACUGCAGAGCUAAGCAUUUGCAAGCCUUAAGAAGCACCAGGUGGUGAUUAAAAAGUAAGAAGUUGUAUUAUGUAUGACAGGCCCCUUUUAUGACCCUUUUGAGGGCUUUGAAACAGAAGCUCAUAUACUGCGAAAACACGUCAUGUUAUUAAAACCAAACAAUGACAUUAAAGAACAGACUCACCAGCUAUUACUGAAAUAGGGAAUAUUUUGCCCACAAUGAAGUUCAAUCCAUAUAAAAAUGAUUGUACUGAGGCAAUUAAAUGCUAAGUAAGGGUAACAAAUAAUUUGAUUUGUUACCUGCAAGUUAUUUUAUAUGUAUGGCUAGCAAAAGGAAAUUUUUAUAACAUACUUCAGGACAGGGUUAUUGAAAAACAUUAAAAAACGUGUUUAUUAACGUAAAGUGAAUUUCCACUACCAAAAGUUUAAAAAUCUCUGUUUAGUAGAUAUACCUUCAAUAAAAGAAUGCACGCAUUCAUAGAAUGUGACGGCAGAUAAGAACCAUUCGGCCCAACUAGUCUGCCCAAUUUUCUAAAUACUUUCAUUAGUCCCUGGCCUUAUCUUAUAGUUAGGAUAGCCUUAUGCCUAUCCCACGCAUGCUUAAACUCCUUUACUGUGUUAACCUCUACCACUUCAGCUGGAAGGCUAUUCCAUGCAUCCACUACCCUCUCAGUAAAGUAAUACUUCCUGAUAUUAUUUUUAAACCUUUGUCCCUCUAAUUUAAGACUAUGUCCUCUUGUUGUGGUAGUUUUUUCUUCUUUUAAAUAUAGUCUCCUCCUUUACUGUGUUGAUUCCCUUUAUAUAUUUAAAUGUUUCUAUCAUAUCCCCCCCGUCUCAUCUUUCCUCCAAGCUAUACAUGUUAAGAUCCUUUAACCUUUCCUGGUAAGUUUUAUCCUGCAAUCCAUGAACCAGUUUAGUAGCCCUUCUCUGAACCUCUCUAAAGUAUCAAUAUCCUUCUGAAGAUACGGUCUCCAGUACUGCGUACAAUACUCCAAGUGAGGUCUCACCAGUGUUCUGUACAAUGGCAUGAGCACUUCCCUCUUUCUACUGCUAAUACCUCUCCCUAUACAACCAAGCAUUCUGCUAGCAUUUCCUGCUGCUCUAUUACAUUGUCUGCCUACCUUUAAGUCAUCAGAAAUAAUCACCCCUAAAUCCCUUUCCUCAGAUGUUGAGGUUAGGACUCUAUGAAAUAUUAUGUACUCUGCCCUUGGGUUUUUACGUCCAAGAUGCAUUAUCUUGCACUUAUCCACAUUAAAUGUCAGUUGCCACAAUUCUGACCAUUUUUCAAGUUUAACUAAAUCAUUUGCCAUUUGGCUUAUCCCUCCUGGAACAUCAACCCUGUUACAUAUCUUAGUAUCAUCAGCAAAAAGACAUACCUUACCAUCAAGACCUUCUGCAAUAUUACUAAUAAAAAUACUAAAGAGAAUGGGUCCAAGUACAGAUCCCUGAGGUACCCCACUGGUGAAAAGCCCAAGCUUCGAAUAUACUCCAUUGACUACAACCCUCUGCCUGUCACUCAGCCACUGCCUUACCCAUUCAACAAUAUUGGAAUCCAAACUUAAAUAUUGCAGUUUAUUGAUAAGCCUUCUAUGUGCAACAGUGUCAAAAGCCUUACUGAAAUCUAGGUAAGCAAUGUCUACUGCACCACCCUGAUCUGUAAUUUUAGUUACCCAAUCAAUAAGAUUAGUUUGGCAUGAUCUCCCUGAAGUAAACACAUGUUGUCUCUGAUUUUGAAAUCCAUGUGUUUUUAGAUGUUCAGCAAUCCUAUCCUUUAACAUGGUUUCCAUCACUUUCCUCACUACUGAAGAAAGACUUACUGGCCUGUAGUUGCCCGACUCCUCCCUAUUACCUUUCUUGUGAAUGGGCACAACAUUCGCUAACUUACAAUCUUCUGGGACUACUCCUGUUAAUAAUGAUUGGUUAAAUAAAUCUGUUAAUGGUUUUGCUAGUACACCACUAAGCUCUUUUAAUAGCUUUGGGUGUAUUCCAUCAGGUCCCAUUGACUUAUUUGUCUUUACUUUUGACAGUUGAAAUAGAACCUCUUCCUCUGUAAACUCAUGUGUAAUAAAUGACUCAUUUAUCCUUUUCCUUAACUGAGGUCCCUUUCCUUCAUUUUCAUCUGUAAAUAUCGAACAAAAAUAUUAAUUGAGGCAGUCAGCUAGACCUUUAUCCUCUUCUACAUACCUUCCUUUUUGGUUAGUUUAUAAAACUGCAAUUUUUUGUCAAAUGAAAAGAAGAGGACACAUUCUUCACACAUAAGCACUUAAAGGACCACUAUAGGCACCCAGACCACUUCAGCUCAAUGAAGUGGUCUGGGUGCCAGGUCCCUCUAGUUUUAACCCUACAGCUGAAAACAAUCCAGCAUCUAGUGGCUGUCUCACUGACAGCCGCUAUAGACGCUUCCGCAAUUCUCACUGUGAAAAUCACAGUAAGAAGACGCUGGAUGUCCAAAGGAAAGCAUUGAGUAAUGUUUUCCUAUGGGCAGUUUGAAUGCGCGCACGGCUUUUGCCGCGCAUGCACAUUCGGAGCUGACCUCAGCGCAGAGGAAACCCGGCGCUGGAAAAAGGUAAGUGUCUGAAGGGGAUUUAACCCCUUCAGCCCAGCGGGAUGGGGGCCCUAAUUACCUUAUAGUGCCAGGAAAACAAUUUUGUUUUCCUGGCACUAUAGUGGUUCUUUAAGCAAGCUAAAGUGCUUUAAGUAUUUAAAGUGUACCUUUAGGGACAAAUGCACCUGGCACUGAUUAUAAAUAAUAAUUGCACACACUGCAAUAGGGUAAUAUGAUGGUUUAUUCUGCCAUCAAAUGUGAAGGCCAGUUCAUGUUUGAUGGCUGAGUAAACCACUAUUACUAACUAUUGCUGUGUGCUGAGGUUUUUUUUGUAUGCUUUGGUCCAGUGAACAAGGCACCAAAGAUAAUGCGUCCUUAUUGACCCACAGGUAUAGUUUGCAUUUCAGUUUUAAACCAAAACAAAAUAUCUGCAGUUAGCACUACUAUGGUAGCUAACUCAAUCUGAGAACGGGUUAACUCCAUGAAGGGGACCAAUGUAAACAAAUAAUUAAAACAUAUUUAAUUUAUUAUGUAUGUUAUAUAAUGUAUCUAUAUUACUGAAUUCAUAAUAAGUCACCCGUUGUCUGCUGCCUGUUUGUACUGUUAGUGGACAACUAGAAGAAUUUUGUAAUUUUGCCUGAAAAAAACAAAACAAAUGAAUUUACUUUGUGAUUUGCUCAAGAUAAAUCAGGUGUUCUAAUUGAAAUUCAAUGUUUGAUAAAUAUGCAUAUCCUAGAUUUUCUAUAGGAUUUACUUGUGAGAAAUAAUGAUUCUAAAGUGGACACUGGAUGGUACAGGAUGACAUUGUCUCAUUUGGCUUAACCCCUUAAGGACGGAGCCAAAUGUACACGUUGUGAACAAAACAAAAUGUAAACAAAACCUGGCAUUUGCGCUACAUGUCUGUCCAACCGUAAUACACCUCUUUCAUAGUAAAUGCACCCACCCUUAUUAUAUAUCAUUUUAUUCAGGGGAAACAGGGCUUUCAUUUAAUAUCAAAUAUUUAGCUAUGAAACAUAAUUUAAUGUGAAAAAAAUGGGAGAAAAUACGAUUUAUUUGGAUUUUUUAGUUCUACAUGACAUUUUAACGGUCAGUGUCAUAAUACUGUUUGCUUUUACUGCAAUAAAAUACACAUAUUUGUAUUCAGCAAAGUCUCACGUAUAAAACAGUACCCCCUAUGUACAGGUUUUAUGGCGUUUUGGGAAGUUACAGGGUCAAAUAUAGCAUGUUACAUUUGAAAUUGAAAUUCGCCAGAUUGGUUACGUUGCCUUUGAGACUGUAUAGUAGCCAGGGAAUGAAAUUUACACCCAUAAUGGCAUACCAUUUGCAAUAGUAGACAACCCAAGGUAUUGCAAAUGGGGUAUGUCCAGUCUUUUUUAGUAGCCAUUUGGUCACAAACACUGGCCAAAGUUAGCGUUAGUAUUUGUUUGUGUGUGAAAAAUGCAAAAAGCGCCAAUUUUGGCCAGUGUUUGUGACUAAGUGGCUACUAAAAAAGACUGGACAUACCCUGUUUGCAAUACCUUGGGUUGUCUACUAUUGCAAAUGGUAUGCCAUCAUAGGGGUAAUUUUCAUUCUUGGGCUACCAUAGGGUCUCAAAGGCAACGUAACCAAUCUGGCAAAUUUUAAUGUGAAAAAAAUGAAACACAAGCCUUAUAUUUGACGCUGUAACUUUUGAAAACACCAUAAAACCUGUACAUGAGGGGUACUGUUGUACUCGGGAGACUUCACUGAACACAAAUAUUUGUGUUUCAAAACAGUAAAAAGUAUCAUAGCAAUAAUAUUGUCCGUUUAAUGCUGUUUGUGCGUGAAAAAUGCAAAAAACUUCACUUUACUGGCGAUAUCAUCGUUGUAAUACAUUUUACUGUUUUGAAACACUAAUAUUUGUGUUCAGCGAAGUCUCCCGAGUAGAACAGUACCCCCCAUGUACAGGUUUUAUGGUGUCUCGGAAAGUUAUAGGGUUAAAUAUAGUGCUAGCAAAUUAAAUUCCUUUUACUUUCGGCAUGGGUUGUCAUGCAGGUCCUGCUAAUUGUAAUUAAUUAAGAUACCUAAUUAUGUAAAAAUAUUACAUAAAUAUAUAUGUAGAAUCAAUAUAUGUAUAUAUAUACGUAUGUGUAUAUAUAUGUAUAUAUCUAUAUAAUUUUUUUAAAUAUUUUUAUUUAUAUAUAGGUAUAUAUAUAUAGUGAUAUAUACGUAUAUAUUUAUGUGUAUAGAUAUAUAUAUUAUUUCGUUCUAUGUGUAUUUUGAUAUAUAUAUAUAUAUAUUAAUUUCACAAUACAGUUAGAACGAAAUAACACACAUCUAUAUAUUUUUUAAUUAUUCAUUUUUAAUUAUUUUUGUAAUUUUAUUUUUUAACGUAUUUACAUUUUAAUUUUUUUUAUAAUAUAUAUAAAUAUAUAUAUAACAAUAAUUAUAUAUAUAUUUAAUCAGUAUCAGUCUACGUGUAAUUUGAUAUUAAUAUAUAUAUAUAAUUAUAUAUAUAUUAAUAGUAAAAUACACCUAGACACUGUACAUGUGUGUAUGUAUAUGUGUAUAUAUAUACUUUGAUCAUAUAUAUAUAAUAUAUAUAUAUGAUCUAAGUAUAUAUAAUUUAAUUUUUUUACACUUUUAACUUAUUUUACUUUUAUUUUCAGCCAGCAGGGGGACCCCCUGUAAUUACAGGCAGCCCCCCUGCUGGCAAUACAGAAGCCAGCUAUACCCAGCCAUGUGAUUGUGGGGUCCUCGCUAGGACCCCACUCUCACACGGCCGGGGGGCUUCCUGGAGGACGGUCGUGCCGUGGGGGGCUCCCUGGGAGCCCCCCCACCGCGAUCGCCGGCGUGGGACCGCCGGCGACCGGGUAAGUACAGAAAGACCGGAGGGCGUACUAUUACGCCCGGCGGCGUUUAGAGCCGCCUAUUAGAGGACGUAAUAGUACGCCCUGCGGUCUUAAGGGGUUAAAUUACCAUAUUGUUCUGUACUUGUCCUAAAGGAACACUCCAAAAAUAUAAAGCACUUCAGCAAGUUAAAGUGCUUUAGAUUAUUGGAGUGUUCCUUUAUGUGUAAAAAUCUUUAUAUUUUACAAAAAGUGCAGAUUUCAAUAGAAAAUGGCACUUUUAUAAGUUAAUCUUGUUACAGCCACUGCUUGGCAAGAGACAACAGAUCCUGUUACUUCAAUAGUUAGUUUAGUUAGCUUGACCAGAGCACCUGAAUUGCAUUGGGAAGUAUAUGAUUGGACAGUCACAGAAUGUAUGGAGUGGGGAAAAAGUGGGGAGCUCGCAAAGGCUGCAGUAAAGAGAUCAGAAGAGAUAUGCAACUUUUGCAAGCUGUUUUUAUAAAUGCCUCCAAUGAAAAAAUGCAUAAUUAAAUUCAUGUAUGUUUUAAUUUUUGAGUAUAUCUCCUAAAUAGUGAUGAUUUUUUUUGUUAUUAUUAAGGCAGUGGAGUGUCCCUUUAAGAAAAUACGAGUGACAAAUUUUAAAACUCUACCCCAUUUACACCAUCAUAUCCAUGCCUAAUGUUAGGUAUAUUAAAUAUUAAAAGAAAGCCAUUUCUGUACUUUAAAGAAACAAUAUAUAAUAUGUAUGGGGUCACUGAAAGAGAAACCCUUACAUUACGGUUGAAUAAACACAUAGUGCAAAUUCUAGGUUUUGUUUUGGUUCUGAUCCUGGACCAUUGCCCUUGUCCAUAAGAGGUUUUUUUUUUAAAAAAAAUGGUCCUUAGUGGAUAACCUUGACAUUGAUAUUGAUAGUGCUGUAUGGAGGCAUGUAAACUUAGGGCUGUACCAUUAGUGGGAGUUAGCCACACUGGUGCCUGCUGGCUAAUGGGUCCCAUCGAGUGGCCCAUGCACUUAGAACCACACGAUGGCCAUCUUUGACUAGGGCCCCGUUUAGACACCGUGAUCGGGCACUCUGGUCUGUGAGAAGCCACAGUGCUGGGAGGAAGGGAACACAAAUCACUUCCUCCUAGUGUACAAACGAGCAGCGCAGGAGAGAGAGACAGCUGAGGACCAGAGAGGAGGGAGUCUAAGAGCCAGGACCAGAAGAAGGAAAACCUAGCCCAGACUCCCAUCACACUCAGCCAGAUGCCACAGGACCCCCAGAAAAGCUUUCCUGCACAAUAAAGGCAUGGAAGCAGGGGGUGGCUAAAAAAAUAUUAUGUCAUCUUUGAAUGUAAAUGUCUGUAAAUGUGUUAUUUGUAUAUGUAUUAUGUGUGUGUGUAUAUAUGUGAGGAAGGCUGAACUUGAUGGACACAAGUCUCUUUUCAGCUAUGUAACUAUAUAUAUAUAUAUGUGAUAUAUGCUAUGUGUUAUGUGUAUUUGUUUUGUGUGUGUAUUUGUGUUAUCUGUGUAUGUGUAUAUUGUCAGGAUUACAGAAUGAUCCAGCACGUAGAAUUGUGUAACACAGAGGACUGAUAGGUAACGUAUACCGGACCUUAGAAUGGCCGGACUAACGUACCAAAGAAUAGUCAGGAAUAGCCGAGGUCAAGGGAAACAGAAAGAGACACAGCGAUAAGGAAAAGCCAGGAGUCAGGGAUGCCAGAAAACAGGGAAGUCAAAAACAAUGCCAAAGUCAAAUAACCAGAAUAACCAGAAUCAAUAACGCGCUCUCGGACAACCACAAGGGAAACCACGACAGGGCACUGAGCAAGAUGAGAACUGGGCCUAAAUACCCCUCCUCUAGGUCUGAUAGGCUGUAACCGGCCUUUGACCCCAAAGGCAGUUACCAGAUCCCAUUUGCAUAAUUGCUGCUCAGCAUUAACCCUUCUGUGGAUUUGGUUGUUGCUCGGCACAACUUUUCCUGUGUGGACAGUAAAUGUCAUUAACCACAUUUUGGUAAGCGGAUGAAUACGUGACAUUACCCCCCACCUGAAGACCGCCCACCGGGCGGGCAAGACCAGGUUUGAGAGGAAAUUUGGCGUGAAAAUAGCGAAUCUUGCGGCCAGCAUGUAUAUCAGAUGCCGGAACCCAAGAACGAUCGGCUGGUCCAUAACCUUUCCAAUCAACCAAGUACUGUAAAGUGCCCUGAGAAAACCUGGAAUCAAUUAUGCAGGAGACAUCAUACUCUUCCUGUCCAGAAACAACUAAGGGAGGAGGAGGGACACUUGAGACAGUAUAUUUAUUGCAAUCAAGAGGUUUGAGCAAGGACACAUUAGGAAUUUUCAAGGAGGCCGGAAGGGCCAGAGAGUACGUAACAGGAUUGCUCCUACGAAGGACACGGAAAGGUCCAAGGAACCUAGGAGAAAAUUUCAUGCUAGGGACUUUGAGCCUGAUGUUAUGAGAAGAUAACCAAACCCUCUCACCCACUUGGUAAACAGGGUUGGCACCUCAACGUUUAUCAGCAAAAUGCUUGAAACGGUCAGCAGCAGUACCCAGAGCAGAUUGAACUUUAUCCCAGGUAUCACGGAUGGAAGCCAGACGGUCAUCCAAAGCAGGAAUAGCCGUGUCAGAAAAAACAGCAGGUAGGACAGUAGGAUGCCGGCCAUUAUUAACAAAAAAUGGACUAUGCCCAGAGGAGUCAUGGUCAGCCUUGUUCCUAGCAAACUCGGCCCAUGGUAAUUAUUUGGACCAAUUGUCUUGAGUUCUAUUACCGAAACAACGCAAGUAUAACUCCAAAGACUGGUUAGCCCUCUCAGCUGUACCAUUAGUCUGGGGGUGGUAAGAGGAUGAAAAAGACAGUUCAAUCCCCAACUGUUUAUUGAAAGCCCUCCAAAACCGGGAUACAAACUGAGAACCUCUAUCAGAUAAAAUAUUGUGAGGNNNNNNNNNNNNNNNNNNNNNNNNNNNNNNNNNNNNNNNNNNNNNNNNNNNNNNNNNNNNNNNNNNNNNNNNNNNNNNNNNNNNNNNNNNNNNNNNNNNNACCUCCCUCACAGUAUAUCACCUCCCUCUCAGUAUUACCCCCUCCCACACACUAUCGCCCCUAUAUCCCACACACUAUCACCCCCUCCCUCACCAGAUCACCCCUUCCACACACACACACACAAACUGUCACCACCUCACACACACAGUAUCAUCCCCUUCACACACAGUCACUCUCCCUUAUACACACUGUCACCCCUACAAUGUGGUGUCACCAUACUCAUACACUGUCACAUUCCCACACAUUGUCACCCGCCCUCACACUCUCACCCCCUCCACACUUUCAGCCCUUUCAUGCAUCCACACUCUCACUAACCACUCCUAGUCCUGUUAAUCUUACCCCCUCCAAACUCACCUGCCCUCUCUUUGCCACACUCAUUAACCCCCUUAAUCCUGGCACACUCCUUCCUUAAACCAUGCCACAUUCACCCUUCACUCCAAAACUGUAAUACUCACCCCACCCCAACUAUGCCACACUUACCGUCACUUAAAUCUUAAAUUUUCAUUUUUGUUUUCGAGAACCCCUUCACACCAGUACUUAUUUAUACACGACUGCCGGGCUAUGUGACCAUACCCCACAAUUGUGUAUAAAUGAUUGGCAUAAUUGCAAAUUAAAUUUAUUUAUUGCAAAUUAAUUUUGUUUGCAAAAUGUGCUACAAUUAUAGCCAGAGAGCUCACAAUGCAGGGGCACAAGAAGCUCUGACAUUGCAAGCUUCUGAACAAUGAAUGCAGAGACUGACUCUCUGUAUCCAGUGCUGCAAGCACGCCUCUCGAUAUAGCAAAUGCUCCUUACACUUAUACAAAAUACAACCCUAUUAUUUUAUACUUUGGGUGUAAGUGGGGCCUCAUGCUUGAAGUUCGCCUAAGGCCUCAUAAAGUCUAGAGCCGCCUCUGCCAGUACUGCGUACAAUACUCCAAGUGAGGUCUCACCAGUGUUCUGUACAAUGGCAUGAGCACUUCCCUCUUUCUACUGCUAAUACCUCUCCCUAUACAACCAAGCAUUCUGCUAGCAUUUCCUGCUGCUCUAUUACAUUGUCUGCCUACCUUAAGUCAUCAGAAAUAAUCACCCCUAAAUCCCUUUCCUCAGAUGUUGAGGUUAGGACUCUAUCAAAUAUUCUGUACUCUGCCCUUGGGUUUUUACGUCCAAGAUACAUUAUCUUGCACUUAUCCACAUUAAAAUGUCAGUUGCCACAAUUCUGACCAUUUUUCUAGUUUACCUAAAUCAUUUGCCAUUUGGCUUAUCCCUCCUGGAACAUCAACCCUGUUACAUAUCUUAGUAUCAUCAGCAAAAAGACAUACCUUACCAUCAAGACCUUCUGCAAUAUUACUAAUAAAAAUACUAAAGAGAAUGGGUCCAAGUACAGAUCCCUGAGGUACCCCACUGGUGAAAAGCCCAAGCUUCGAAUAUACUCCAUUGACUACAACCCUCUGCCUGUCACUCAGCCACUGCCUUACCCAUUCAACAAUAUUGGAAUCCAAACUUAAAUAUUGCAGUUUAUUGAUAAGCCUUCUAUGUGCAACAGUGUCAAAAGCCUUACUGAAAUCUAGGUAAGCAAUGUCUACUGCACCACCCUGAUCUAUAAUUUUAGUUACCCAAUCAAUAAGAUUAGUUUGGCAUGAUCUCCCUGAAGUAAACCCAUGUUGUCUCUGAUUUUGAAAUCCAUGUGUUUUUAGAUGUUCAGCAAUCCUAUCCUUUAACAUGGUUUCCAUCACUUUCCCCACUACUGAAGUAAGGCUUACUGGCCUAUAGUUGCCCCACUCCUCCCUAUUACCUUUCUUGUAAAUGGGCACAACAUUCGCUAACUUCCAAUCUUCUGGGACUACUCCUGUUAACAAUGAUUGGUUAAAUAAAUCUGUUAAUGGUUUUGCUAGUACACCACUAAGCUCUUUUAAUAGCUUUGGGUGUAUUCCAUCAGGUCCCAUUGACUUAUUUGUCUUUACUUUUGACAGUUGAAAUAGAACCUCUUCCUCUGUAAACUCAUGUGUAAUAAAUGUCUCAUUUAUCCUUUUCCUUAACUGAGGUCCCUUUCCUUCAUUUUCAUCUGUAAAUAUCGAACAAAAAUAUUAAUUGAGGCAGUCAGUUAGACCUUUAUCCUCUUCUACAUACCUUCCUUUUUGGUUAGUUUAUAAAACUGCAAUUUGUUGUCAAAUGAAAAGAAAAGGACACAUUCUUCACACAUAAGCACUUAAAGGACCACUAUAGGCACCCAGACCACUUCAGCUCAAUGAAGUGGUCUGGGUGCCAGGUCCCUCUAGUUUUAACCCUGCAGCUGAAAACAAUCCAGCCUCUAGUGGCUGUCUCACUGACAGCCGCUAUAGACGCUUCCGCAAUUCUCACUGUGAAAAUCACAGUAAGAAGACGCUGGAUGUCCAAAGGAAAGCAUUGAGUAAUGUUUUCCUAUGGGCAGUUUGAAUGCGCGCACGGCUCUUGCCGCGCAUGCACAUUCGGAGCUGACCUCAGCGCAGAGGAAACCCGGCGUUGGAAAAAGGUAAGUGUCUGAAGGGGAUUUAACCCCUUCAGCCCAGCGGGAUGGGGGCCCUAAUUACCUUAUAGUGCCAGGAAAACAAGAAUAGUCAGGAAUAGCCGAGGUCAAGGGAAACAGAAAGAGACACAACGUUAAGGAAAAGCCAGGAGUCAGGGAUGCCAGAAAACAGGGAAGUCAAAAACAAUGCCAAAGUCAAAUAACCAGAAUAAAUAACGCGCUCUCGGACAACCACAAGGGAAACCACGACAAGGCACUGAGCAAGAUGAGAACUGGGCCUAAAUACCCCUCCUCUAGGUCUGAUAGGCUGUAACCGGCCUUUGACCCCAAAGGCAGUUACCAGAUCCCAUUUGCAUAAUUGCUGCUCAGCAUUAACCCUUCUGUGGAUUUGGUUGUUGCUCGGCACAACUGUUCCUGUGUGGACAGUAAAUGUCAUUAACCACAUUUUGGUAAGCGGAUGAAUACGUGACAUUACCCCCCACCUGAAGACCCAGAGGCAGAGAUAUUAUAUCCCAAAAACUGUACUUCAGAUUGGUCAAAGAUGCAUUUUUCUAAUUUACAAUAAAGUUGAUUCUUUAACAAGGUCUGCAGAACUUGUCUAACGUGAUCGUGGUGAGUCUGAAUGUCAGGAGAAUAAAUAAGGAUAUCAUCCAGAUAGACCAAGACAAACGAGUAAAUGUAAUCCCUGAGUACAUCAUUUAUGAAAUCUUGGAAAACCGCUGGAGCAUUGCACAACUCGAAUGGCAUCACUAGAUAUUCAUAGUGUCCACUUCUGGUAUUAAAUGCAGUCUUCCACUCAUGGUUUUCCUUGAUUCUCACUAAAUUGUGAGCACUUCUAAGAUCAAGCUUAGUAAAUACUUUAGCACCUUGGAGUCUAUCAAAUAAUUCAGCAAUAAGAGGAAUGGGGUAGGCGUUCUUAAUGGUGAUUUUGUUCAAUGCCCUGUAAUCGAUACAUGGGCGCAACUCAUCGUCCUUUUUAGAUACAAAAAAGAAUCCUGCCCCAGCAGACGAGGAUGAUUUUCGUAUGUGGCCUUUAUUCAAUGAAUCCUUAAUAUAUUCCUCCAUUUUUCUACUCUCCUGAGUUGACAGAGCAUAGACUGCUCCCUUAGGUGGCAUAGCGCCAGGUAGUAAAUUAAUGGAACAGUCAUAAGGUCUGUGAGGAGGUAGCGUAUUCGACUGAGUUUUGCUGAAUACUUCUUUAAUGUCUUGGUACUGUAUAGGGAUUUCCAGGUUUUGAGGUGUACUAGUGGGUAAUCCAAUAGUGCCCACUCUUUUGACAAGAUUCAAUAUACACCUUUCAUAACAAUCCUUACCCCAUUCUAAUAUUUCCCCAUUAGCCCAGUCAAUAUGAGGGUAAUGCUUGUUAAGCCAUGGAAAGCCUAAUAUGAUCGGACAGGAAGGGGAUGCAAUAACCUGAAAUAUAAUCUCUUCCUUAUGUAAGGCACCAAUGGACAAAUUAAUGGGUAAGGUUUCGUGUGUAAUCAAUGGUUGUGAGAGUGGUCUCCCAUCAAUAACCUCAACAGCUAGGGGUGAUAGUCUCUCCUUGAUAGGUAUAGUAUUACCUUUAACAAAUUGAACGUCUUUGAAGUUUCCAGCGGCACCUGAAUCCAUCAGGGCUUUGCAUGAAAAGUUCUUAUUUUCAAAAGCAAUAGUAAUAUCAAGGAGAAACCUAUUUUUAUCCAUUCCAGAGGACGUUUCCAUUACACCUAAGACCUGUCCCCUUAAGGUGACAUUUACUGUCCACACAGGAAAAGUUGUGCCGAGCAACAACCAAAUCCACAGAAGGGUUAAUGCUGAGCAGCAAUUAUGCAAAUGGGAUCUGGUAGUUUUCCGGACGUAUGGGACAAUUGUUUCUCAUAUGUCCUUUUCUACCGCAGUAUAGACAUAGGCCUUCUUUUCUCCUAUAUUGUCUUUCUGCUUCCGACAGUCUAGUGACCCCCAACUCCAUGGGUUCGGACUGUACAGGAAAUUCAGGGACAAUAGGUUUGGAGAAGUGGGGUGCUAAAGGCAUAUUCAUGUGUCUGGUCUUGUUUCUAGUAGCUUCUCUGGUUCUCAAUCUAUUAUCAAUUUGCAUGACAAAUGUGAUAAAUUCAUUAAGUUUUUUUGGGUAAGUCUUUGGCGGCAAUCUCAUCUAGCAUAGUUUCAGAUAGUCCCUUUUUAAAUGCAGAGAUUAACCCGCUAUUAGUCCAGUCUACCUCGGAAGCUAGGGUACGAAAUUCUAUGGCAUACUCUAAGAUAGACCGGUUCCCUUGUCUGAUAUGCAUCAGGGCAGUAGAGGCGUCUUCCUCCCUGCCUAAUGGUUCAAACGUAAGUUUAAAUUCUGUAAUAAACUCCUGGUAAUUGUGUGCCACACUCCUAUUACUCUCCCAUAAUGGAUUGGCCCAAGUUAAAGCUUUACCUUUUAAUUGAUUCAUCAGGUAACCAAUUUUAGCUCUAUCUGUGGGAAAAGAUCCCGGUGAGGCCUCCUUUGGUUAAGGAAUCCCCGGCAUUCUUGGAAAUUACCAUCAAAAUGCAGAGGAGGAGAUAGAGAGAUAGUUGGUACCUUGUAUACUAUAGGCGGAGGUGACACAGUAGGAUCAGCCGCAGGUUGCAGAUGUGCUGUACGAGUAAGAAGCAUACUGAAAGCCUGGGCGAAUUGAUCCAAGCGGUGAUCAUUAUCCUCCAGUUUCCUUUCGUAAGCAGCUAUGUGCUUACACAAUUCUACAGGAUCUAUGGCCAUGUCGUAAUGUCAGGAUUACAGAAUGAACCAGCACGUAGAAUUGUGUAACAGAGGACUGAUAGGUAACGUAUACCAGACCUUAGAAUGGCCGUACUAACGUACCAAAGAAUAGUCAGGAAUAGCCGAGGUCAAGAGAAACAGAAAGAUACACAACGAUAAGGAUAGACCAGGAGUCAGGGAUGCCAGAAAACAGGGAAGUCAAAAACAAUGCCAAAGUCAAAUAACCAGAAUCAAUAACACGCUCUCGGACAACCACAAGGGAAACCACGACAGGGCACUGAGCAGGAUGAGAACUGGGCCUAAAUACCCCUCUUCUAGGUCUGAUAGGCUGUAACCGGCCUUUGACCCCCAAAGGCAGUUACCAGAUCCCAUUUGCAUAAUUGCUGCUCAGCAUUAACCCUUCUGUGGAUUUGGUUGUUGCUCGGCACAACUUUUCCUGUGUGGACAGUAAAUGUCAUUAACCACAUUUUUGUAAGCGGAUUAAAACGUGACAUAUAUGUGUUCUUUGUGUUUGUGUUGUGCGAUCUGUGAAACCUGUGUGUGUGUAUGUUAUGUGUGUAUGUGUUGUGUGUGUGCCUUAACUGUGUGCAUGUGUUAUCUAUGUAUAUAUGUGUGUUAUUUGUUUAUGUGUUAUGUGUGUAUAUGUGUGAUCUGUGUAAUCUGUGUGUGGGUGCAUGUGUUAACUGUGUGUGUAUGUAUUUGUAUGUGUGUUACUGUGUGUCUGUGGGUGUGUGUAUCUGUGUGUGUAAGGGUGUGUCUAUGUAUCUGCAUGUCUGUACCUGUGUAUCUGUACGUCUGUCAGCAUGCAUGUCUGUGUAUCUGCAAGUGUGUCUGUGUGUGUGCAUUAUUACUUUUUAUUAUUUUUAGCGUUUAUAUAGCGCCAACAUCAGUUUCUCGCAGAUGAGGGUGAGGCCAAACUGUAAACAGUGACUGGGGGGAGCAGAUUGCACUAUGGCCCCUCUCUCACCUGUCACCUGGGAAAGACUACCCCCUGGCGUGAAACAGUUAAUAAACAAUAUAGAUUUGAUCAUUGGAGGAAGUAGUAGACUUCAAUUAAACAUAAUUACUUCUAUGAUGGGAGUAAAAGAUCACAAACUAAGUGUUCAGAUGAAGGGAUAAGUAAGGUUAAAGUAAGCAAUGUUGAAACUCAAAGGUACAUCUAGUUUAUACAGAUAAAGAUAGUUAAAGUGACACUAUAGUCACCAGAACAACUACAGUUUAAUUUAUCUGCUCUGGUGAUUACAAUCAUUCCCUUUAGGCCUCUUGCAGUAAACACUGUUUUUUUUUCCAGAGAAAAGGGAGUGCUUUCAUUACAGCCUAGGGAUACCUCUACUAGCCACUUCUCAGAUGGUCACUAGAGAUGUUUCUUGGGGCAGUUUCUUGGGGCAUGUUUCUUACACCCUCUGCAUGGAGAUACUAAGCUUUCCUCAUACAGAUGCAUUGAUUCAGUGACUUGUGCUGACUCUGCCCCCAAUCUGCCUCCUUGACAAGCUCAGCCAAUCCAAACAUUUCCUAUGGGAAAGCAUUGUGAUUGGCUCAGCCCACCACUUCUGAUGAUGUCACCCAAGCAGGCAGAUCAGGGGCAGAGCCAGCAGCAGCAGAGUGGGUGAAAGGUAGGAUUUUACAAUAUUUAGAAGGGCAAGGGUGGUGGGUGAGGGGAGGACAGUGGGGCUAGACGGUGUUUAUAACAACUUAAGGUCAGGAAUACAUGUUUUCAUUAAUGACCCUAUAGUAUUCCUUUAAAUAAUUAACAGGUAGUCAAAGUUAACAAGAAAAUCCUGGUGAUGAAUAAAAAACAUUUUAGAUUAUUAUACAAGACAAAAAAAGUGGGAAGUUAGGUCAAAUCCAUUUUUAUCAGAUUACUUGGCAAGCAAACCAAUGGGAUCAAAAAAGUAAGAUAAACCUAGAUAACAGCUAAUAGAAGAUGAGCUGAUAUGAACUGGUUACUGUACACAGCAAGUAGGGCAUGGACUGAAUUAGCAGCAAUGAUAAACGUUACAUAAGUAAGCAACAUUUGCAAACCAUGGAAUUAAUAUUGGCAAUGACUUAAAUCACGAGUAUCAUGCAGCUUGGCCUUGAUAAUUGAGAGUUGACAAAGCAAUUAGAGCAUUGGCAGGCUCAAAACUUCCACAAAAGUAUGUAGUGACCAGUUUACAGGAGCACCCAGAUUAGGAGCAAUGUUUUUUUUCUUAGGGUUUAGAAUCAACAACACCUACUUAGAAUGUCUUCCAACUUUCAAUUGAAUGGGGAUAAAGCAACACGGCUAUGAGAAGGUUGGUAUCACUUUUCAGGUCAUGUAGAUGUAAAGUGCAUUAGGAUACUACGUGAUGUAUAACCAAAGUUUCAAGUUACAAAGUAGCAGAACUAUUUGCAGAUAUCAAUACUAUAAUACUAAGUUAUUUAUAUAUCAUAAAUCAACAUACAGUCAUGAGAACAUUAAAGGACCACUAUAGGCACCCAGACCACUUCAGCUUAAUGAAGUGUUCUGGGUGCCAGGUCCAGCUAGGCUUAACCCAUUCUUUUACAAACAUAGCAGUUUCAGAGAAACUGCUAUGUUUAUGAAUGGGUUAAGCCUUCCCCCAAUUCCUCUAGUGGCUGUCUCACUGACAGCUGCUAGAGGCGCUUGCGUGCUUCUCACUGUGAAAAUCAUAGUGAGAGCACGCAAGCGUCCAUAGGAAAGCAGUGAUAAUGCUUUCCUAUAUGACCAGCUGAAUGCGUGCGCAGCUCUUGCCGCGCGUGCGCAUUCAGCCGCAUGGGAGAAGAGGAGGAUCGGAGGAGGAGAGCUCCCCGCCCAGCGCUGGAAAAAGGUAAGUUUUUACCCCUUUCCCCCUUCAAGAGCCGGGCGGGAGGGGGACCCUGAGGGUGGGGGCACCCUCAAGGCACUAUAGUGCCAGGAAAACGAGUAUGUUUUCCUGGCACUAUAGUGGUCCUUUAAGUACAUCAUCCUGCUCCCAUGUGAAUCUAAGUAGAGUAGUUCUGCUACUUAAACACCCUUGAUUAAUUGAUCAUCAGCAAGUGUUACCACAUCUAUAAAAUAGAUAUUCAGCAGUUUACUGGUCUGGAGCAUUCAGGUGUGUGUUAACACAAUGCCAAGGAGGAAAUACAUCAGCAAUAACCGUAGAGAAGCAAUUGUUGCUGCCCAUCAAACUGGGAAGGGUUAUAAGGCCAUUUCCAAACCAUGUAAAGUCUAUCAUUCUAUAGCAUGAAAGAUUAUUCAAAAGUGAAAAACAUUCAAGACAGUUGCCAAUCUUCUCAGGAGUGGCUGACCCAGCAAGUUCACUCCAAGGUCAGACUGUGCAAUUCUCAGAGAAAUUUCAAAGAGCCCAAGACUUACAUCUCAGACUCUACAGGCCUCAGUUACAAUGUUUAAUAUAAAAGUUCAUGACGGUACAUUUAGAAAAAGACAGAACAGGUAGGAAGUCAGAACAGGUAUGAAUUGUUUGGAAGGCUUGCCAGGAGAAAUACCUCUUUUCUCUAUAAGGAAUAUAUGGCAGCACUGCUUAGGUUUUCACAAACCACAAAACUUCUUGAACAAUGUCCAUUGGACAGACGAGACCAAAGUGGAGAUGUUUGGCCAUAAUCCACAGCUCCACAUUUGGCCAAAAUCAAAUACAGCAUAUUAGCACAAUCCCAAAUACCAACUACAAAGCAUCUGACUUUCCCCACUAUAAAUUUAUGCUGCGCUCAUACAGCUUGGCUCUUUCCUUUGCAAAAGUAAAUUACUUCAAUACCCUUAUAACCACACUCUCCCGCGAACACAAACGGCAAUUUCACACAUUUAACUCUCUUCUUUGCCCUAUUGUUCCUCCUCCACCUACUUACUUGACCGACACUGCCUUUGCAACUGACUUCACUGACAAGAUCUCUACAAUCAGGGAAGAGAUCUCUCAUCUUUCUUCUUCCCCUUACAAUACUUCCCCUAACCUCACUCCCUCUUCUGGUCUAUGUUCAUUCGCCCCCGCUACAGCGGAAGAGGUUUCUGCUCUGCUCCAGUCCUCCCGCCCCACCACCUGCUCCCUGUAGCGUUACUUACCUUAUCCAGGGGCCGGCCGCGGUCCUCUCUUCUGCAGGAGCCGCGCGCGGUCCUGCUGCUGCACGAGCCGUGCGCGGCUCAUCUGACGGCUUCAAUAGGAAGGCGGGCCGUGACCGCGAGAAGCGGUCACGUGUCCCGCCUGAAUCUAAGAGCGCGCCGCGAGUCUCGGGCGCGCUCUUAAAGAGACAGUGGGAGCCUAAAUUGUCAAAAGGCUCCCAUUGGCCCCUGUCAUGCCACACUCCCCAUACACUUACCUUUUGGGGGUGUGGAUAUGACAGGAGCCAAUCACAUUAGUUUAGAAGCUAUUUAAAAACCCACUUUUUUUUUUAAAAGUGUAUCAGUUAAACUGUUAAUAGCUCCUGACAGAUUCCUCUCUUGCACCUGUCAUUAGUCUAAUACUAUCUUUACCUUUUGUGUCACUUUACCCCACUCCCUCUAGCAUGUAAGCUCAUUGAGCAGGGCCCUCAACCCCUCUGUUCCUGUGUGUCCAACUUGUCUGGGUACAACUACAUGUUUGUUCACCCACCCACUGUAAAGCGCUGCAGAAUUUGUUGGCGCUAUAUAAAUAAUAUAAUAAUAAGAAUAAUAAUGAUAUGUAAAACCAUAGAAUUCAAAGAGGAUGUACUUUUUAUUUAUUUUUUUAUAAUUCUUUAUUUUAGCUGUGCAUAGAUUGUACAAACAUGCUUGCUGAGCCACAGCAGCUAGGACAAGCUUUGCAAUAGACAUAAAGAGGCAUUAGUAUGACUUUCAAUAUAUAUAUAUCACUGCACAUUUUUUAAAGCAAUAGGUAACAGGAGAAAACAUGCUGCUUAACUAGUAAUGGCUCCACCACAGAGGGCUCUGAGAUAAUGAAAUGGGGCCAGGGUUGCCAUCAGGUAUUUUGGGGCCCCUGACACAAUUCAAGGUCUGGGCCACGCGGGCCCGUCCCCGAGUCCGCCCACAAGGAUGCCCAUUGUGUGUGUAGUGGACGUAGUGUGUAUAGUGUAUAAAGAUUGCACAUGUGUAUAAUGAAUGUAGUGUUUGUGUGUUUUAAAUACAGUGUUUUUGGGUAGUGAAUGCAGUGUGUGUGUUUGUGUAGUGGAUGUUGUGUGUGUGUGUGUGCGUGUGUAUGGUGAAUGCAGUGUGUGUUUGUGUAGUGGAUGUAUAGUGUCUAUGGUGAAUGCAGUGUGUGUUUGUGUUUAUGGUGAAUGCAGUGCGUGUUUGUGUUGUGGUUUUAGUGUGUAUAGUGAAUGCAGUGUGUAUUUGUGUAGUGGAUGUAUAGUGUUUAUGGUGAAUGCAGUGUGCAGUGUUUGUGUUGUGCUUUUAGUGUGUGUAAUUGUGUAAAAUAGAAGCUCCAUUUGGGGGAAGGAGAGCAUUUUUGGUGGUAUUUACAUUUAUUUACACACUCUUUAUUUUAUUCCCCCCUCCCUGCUUCUUAACUGGCCAGGGAGGGGUGAGAUUGCAUCCCUGGUGGUCCAAUGAUAUGGUGAAGGGCACCGGUGCAGAGCACCGGUGGCUGCUUGGAUUAAGUGCGGUUCCUAUGAUCACUUUUGCAAAGUAGUGUAGGCCCAUACACUGCCCUCCCUGGGCGCUGCCAAUGCAGUCUGCACCUCUUGAGGCAGGUAGGCUUGGGGGAUGCUGCCUUGCGUGGGUGCCUGGUCCCUCGAGGUCUCUGUGUGGAUGAGCAGCUCGAUAAGGCUUGUGGGGAGGGCUAAAAGGCCAAAAUUCCUUGUGGAGGCAGUUGAGCUGUAGCUGUGCUCCGGACCUCUCCCUCCGAUGCUGCCAAGGACAUGUGGAUUUUAGGUGUCGCCACUGGCAUACAAACCGCGGUCAAAGGGGUCGCAGCUGCGACUGGGCCCGUCACUCCAGGGGGCCCGGCCACCCUGCGGACCCCUGUGACCAGGUACCCGCCAUUAUGUUUUGUAGCCCCGGCCCACGCGACAAACUGCCAGGGCCUCCGUUCCAGGGGUCCAUCGGGUGGCCCAUGCUGUCAGGGCCACCCAAUGGAUAUGGAUUGUAAGGGCAAGACCAGGCCCCCUGUGAUUACAUCACAGAGCUGGGAGGAAGUGACUGCACGUGCGGGAAGAAGACCAGGGAGUCAGAGUGGGAACUCUGACUCCCAACCACCUGAGCCACCACUGGACCCCAGUCACCCUACUGCACCUAAAAGGUAAGAAACAGGAGGGUGACUUAAAUAUUGUGUGUGUGUGUGUUUGUAUGUAUGUGUGUGUGUCUGUGUGUGUGUCUGCCUAUAUGUAUGUGUGCCUGUUUGUUUGUAUGUAUGUGUGUUUGUCUGUGUGUCUGUAUGUGUCUGUCUGUAUGUGUGCCUGUCUGCGUAUAUAUGUGUGUGUCUGUCUGUAUGUGUCUGCAUGUAUGUCUGUGUGUGCUUGUCUGUUUGUAUGUGCGUCUUGUGUGUGUAUGUGUGUGACUGCCUGUAUGUCUGUGUGUGUGUGCGCUUGUCUGUUUGUAUGUCUGUGUGUGUGUGAUUGUCUGUUUGUAUGUAUGUGCGUCUUGUGUGUGUAUGUGUAUGUAUGUAUGUAUGUAUGUAUGCCUGUCUGUAUGUGUCUGCCUGUGUGUAUGUGUGCCUGUCUGUUUGUAUGUAUGUGUGUCUGUCUGUGUGCCUGUAUGUGUGUGUGUGUGUCAGUCUGUAUGUGUGUGUCUGUCUGUAUGUAUAUAUAUGGGCCUGUCUGUUUUUAUGUAUGUAUGUGUGUGUGUGUGUGCCUAUGUAUGUAUGUAUGUGUGUCUGUCAGGGAGGGAAUGGGGGGUGGGGUGGGCGGGAAUAGGGGGGUCACUGGGUGUCGCUGUUAUUGCGGCGGCACCACAUGUCUUCUGAAGGAGACCGGGAUGACCCCCCGGUCCAUUGGGAGGGGGGGGGGAGGUGGAUGGGUGCAGCGGGCUGGAACUCCAUGUUUGUGCGGUUCGGCAUGGAUUAGCCUGGAAGAUAGGCUUCUCCCUUUCCCAACGCCCAAUAGGCCUUGCUUUCUGGCGAUUAAGUUUCUCUGUUAGGCCACUACAGACGACCACCGGGAACAACCGCAAGUUGUCCAUUCGAUGCAGGAUGCCCGGGUAGCUUAAAUUGCUCCAGAUUCAAUAGACAAACGUGCUGGCAACUGGACUAAUUAGUUUGAGACUGGAGAAAACAUGUCCAGUUGCCAUGGCAGUCCCUCCCUUCUCCCCCCAUGUACUUUCUUCUUAUCAGUCAGCUCAUUGUACUGGUUAUAAUGCUAAGGGAUACAUCCUUUUAUAAGAGAUAAGCAUAUAUCUAGUAUAUGAAUAACAUGUUAAUGAGAGAACUGGUAAUCAGUAGGCAGAGGUAAGUAAAAUCCAUACAUAAGAGUCUAUGGGCAUCAACCGGAUAUUGUAUAAGAUAAUGUUUAGUGUUAUUGUAGGGAUCAACGUGUUGUGAAGUGUCAGGGUUAAUGGUUAGUGUUAGUGUAGUGUGGUAAGGGCAGGGGUUAAUGUUUACUGAGUGUGUAUUGUAAGAGUUAAUAUUUAGUAGUAGUGUAGGAGUUGUUGUUUACUAAUAUUGUAGUGGGCUGGUUAAUGUUUAACCCCUUAAGGACAGCGGGCGGUCUAUGCCGUCCUUAGGGAACCAGCUCUAAACGCUGGAGGGUGGCAUAGAAUAUCCAAGCCGUCCUUUGUACUUAACCGGUCGCCGGCGAUCCCACGCCGGCGAUCGUGGUAUGGGGACUUACCUGGGAGCCCAGGGAGUCCCCCUCCGUCCUCUUCGGCCAUGUGAUCGCGAGGUAAUUGCGAGGACAUCGCGAUCACAUGGACGGCAUAGCCCCCUUGCUGCCUGUGAAAUGUAAAAUAAAAGUUAAAGAUACAGUUUAAAAUAAAAUAUAUUCUUAGAUCAUAUAUAUUUUUAUUAUAUAUAUAUGAUCCAAGUAUAUAUAUAUAUGUUUAUAUAUAUAUAUAUAUAUAUAUAUAUAUAUAUAUAUAUAUAUACACAUAUAGAUACAUACACAUACACUGUCUAAGUGUAUUUUUAUUUUUUUAUUCUUUAUUUUUGUAGUGCAUGUAAAUACAAAAAAUGCUGACAUUGCCACAACAGCACAUAUAAGUAACACAGUAAGAAACAUUCUCAGAGUAUAUUGCUGCUAGGUAACCUUAAUCUGCACCAUUUCUUUUUUGAGAGACAACAAUGCAUUUAAACAUGUCUAGGCAAUCUGUAGUCGCAAGGUUUCCAUGCAGAGACAGAGGAACAUCAAACAUUACAAUUUAGGUUAUCUAAAUUAAUCUCUUGGACAUGGGGAUGUUACUUAAUGAACAUGUCUAUCUUUCUGACUGGGUGGAGGCUAUUAAAGAGGUGUAAACAAAAUAAUAAUGCAACCCCAGUGGAGAAAUCAUAAACCAAACUAAGUAGAUGCUUUAAACAGGUAGGUGUACAUCCUUAGACUUUACCACCGCAUGGGCCCCCCGUGCCAUUAAGCUGACAGUCAGUGUCCCUGUGGCAUUAGACCUGCCUAUUUGGAGAGACAGAUCGGGACAUACGCUGGAGAGCUGCAUAGUGAGGUGUGAGACAGUGGUGGUGCGCUAGGAAGUUGUCAAAGUGGCAGUGUUCAACUUGCAGGUUCAGCCUAUGCCCACCGCAUACAGGUCAUAGCUCCGAGUCGUCUUGGUGAUCCCCUGGAUAGGCCUCCCCUCUGCAGGCAGCCGACCAUAGUGUUGUGGUCUUCUUGCUAUCCGGGCGGUACUGCAGGCAAAUCUGGGAUGUUGGAGCGGUGUCUCAUGCUGGGAGCCGGGUGCUCGGGUAGGUAUUAUAAACAGCGCCAUCUGGUAACCUUGUGCUGCAUGUGUCGACUUGAUUAAUCUCUGGCUUCUCCGCCGCGAUCUUGUUUGACCUGUGGCUGGAACCCCAAUGUUGAGGUGGAGCGUGUGCAGUAGGUAUCGGGCUGGGUGUUAGUGUAGAUUCCUCUGAGCAGACAUCCACAGUUCUCUUGUCAGCCCUUGUCGGCAAGUCGCUAGUGUUGAAGCGAUUCUUCCCUUUGGCACAUGUAGCUCAGUAUGUCAUCGCCGCCAUUUUGACUGCGGCCUCAGAGCCUUGGGUCGACACCGCUGCAGCCUGGGGUGCUGGUGUAUUCACGAUCACAGGGGCCAUGGGGUGGGGGGGGGAGGUGCUGGUAGGCAGAGUAGGCAGAAUAGCGGGACAGCGGCCGUCCACCCCACUCACUGCCAGGGUAAUCGUCAUCUUGGGCGACAAGGAGCUUCCCUCCAAGGGACUAGAACCCCUCGGUAAGCCUCACCUCGGUACCAGGGUGCCUUCUUGCAAUGGGCCACAGCUGCCAGUCAUCAGGUGGGUAUUUAAUCAGGAUUUAUAUGCUGAUGUUAUAAGAGAUUGCAGGAGCUACUCUUUUGUGCGACCAUUCAGCAUGGCGGUCCGGUCCCGCCCCCCCUAAGUGUAUUUUAAUAUUAAUAUAUAUAUAAUUAUAUAUUAAUAUGAAAAUACACGUACAAUGAUAUUGAUUAAAUAUAUAUAUAAUUUUCAUUAUAUAUAUAUUUUUAUAUAAUAUUUAAUAAAAAAAUAUGUAAAUACGUAAAAAAAUAAAAUUACAAAAAUAAUAAAAAAUUAAAAAAUAUAUAUGUGUAAAUUCGUUCUACCUGUAUUUUACAAUUAAUAUAUUUAUACUGAUAUCAAAAUACAUGUAGAACAAAAUAAUAUAUAUAUCUAUAUACAUAAGUUUAUACGUAUAUAUCACUAUAUAUUACAUAAUUAGGUCAUUUUAUUAAUUACAAUUAGCGGGACCUGCCUGACAACCCAGGCCAAAAGUCCAGGGAAUUUAAUUUGCUAGCACCACAUUUAACCCUGUAACUUUCCAAGACACCAUAAAACGUGUACAUGGGGGGGUACUGUUUUACUUGGAAGACUUCGCUGAGCACAAAUAUUAGUGUUUCAAAACAGUAAAAUGUAUUACAACAACGAUAUUGUCAGUGAAAGUGACUUUUUUAAAUUUUUCACACAAAUGGCACUUACACGGACGAUAUAAUUGUUGUGAUACGUUUUACUGUUUUGAAACACUAAUAUUUGUGUUCAGCGAAGUCUCCUGAGUAUAACAGUACCGCUCAUGUACAGGUUGUAUGGUGGUUUCAAAAGUUACAGAGUCAAAUAUAAGGCUUGCGUUUCAGUAUUUUCACAUUGAAAUUCGCCAGGUUGGUUAUGUUGCCUUUCAGACCGUACGGUAGCCCAGGAAUGAAAAUUCCAUGAUGGCAUACCAUUUGCAAUAGAAGACAACCCAAGGUAUUGCAAAUGGGGUAUGUUCAGUCUUUUUUUGUAGCCACUUAGUCACAAACACUGGCCAAAAUUGGUGUUCAAAUUAGUUUUUUUGCAUUUUUCACACACAAACAAAUAUUAACACUAACUUUGGCCAGUGUUUGUGACUAAGUGGCUACUAAAAAAGACUGAACAUCCUCAUUUGCAGUACCUUGGGUUGUCUACUUUUGCAAAUGGUAUGCCAUUAUGGGGGUAAUUCUUAUUCCUGGGCUACCAUACGGUCUCAAAGGCAACGUAACCAAUCUGGCGAAUUGUCUAAAAACUGAAAAAUGUAAAAAAAAAAUGAAAAAUUUAACAUGCUAUAUUUGACCCUGUAACUUCCCAAAACACCAUAAAACCUGUACAUAGGGGGUACUGUUUUACACAUGAGACAUCGCUGAAUACAAAUAUGUGUAUUUUAUUGCAGUAAAUGCAAACAGUAUUAUGACACUCACAGUUAAAAUAUCACGUAAAACAAAAAAAAAGUAAAUUCUUAUUUUUUCCCAUUUUUUAAAUAUUUUAUUCAUAUUAAAUUAUGUUUCAAACCUAAAUAUUUGAUGUUAAAUGAAAGCCCUAUUUACCCUGAAUAAAAUGAUAUAAAACAAGUGUGGGUGCACAUAAUAUGAAAGAGGCGAGUUACGCCUGAACAGACAUAUAGCGCAAAUUCAAGUUUUUGUUUACGUUUUGUUUUGAUCACAACGUUUACAUUUGGCUCAGUCCUUAAGGGGUUAAUGAUACAUACAUAUCCCAAUGUGGCGUAAAGUAUAGGGUGGCAGCUUUUUCAACUGCUGACAUUAAAAAUUAGUAACUCCCACUAAUCACAGGCAGUCCCUAUAUCCUUGUCCCGGCUGAGAUUAGGCGCCCCAUACUGCAAUAUCACUAAUAAAAAUAUCUCUUUAAUAUUUUUAUUAGUGUUAUUGCAGAAGGUCUUGAUGGUAAGGUAUGUCUUUUUGCUGAUGAUACUAAGAUAUGUAACAGGGUUGAUGUUCCAGGAGGGAUAAGCCAAAUGGCAAAUGAUUUAAGUAAACUAGAAAAAUGGUCAGAAUUGUGGCAACUGACAUUUAAUGUGGAUAAGUACAAGAUAAUGCAUCUUGGACGUAAAAACCCAAGGGCAGAGUACAGAAUAUUUUAUAGAGUCCUAACCUCAACAUAUGAGGAAAGGGAUUUAGGGGUGAUUAUUUCUGAUGACUUAAAGGUAGGCAGACAAUGUAAUAGAGCAGCAGGAAAUGCUGGCAGAAUGCUUGGUUGCAUAGGGAGAGGUAUUAGCAGUAGAAAGAGGGAAGUGCUCUUGCCAUUGUAUAGAACACUGGUGAGACCUCACUUGGAGUAUUGUACACAGUACUGGAGACCGUAUCUUCAGAAGGAUCUUGAUACCUUAGAGAGGGUUCAGAGAAGGGCUACUAAACUGGUUCAUGGAUUGCGGGAUAAAACUUACCAGGAAAGGUUAAAGGAUCUUAACAUGUAUAGCUUGGAGGAAAGACGAGACAGGGGGGAUAUGAUAGAAACAUUUAAAUACAUAAAGGGAAUCAACACAGUAAAGGAGGAGACUAUAUUUAAAAGAAGAAAAACUACCACAACAAGAGGACAUAGUCUUAAAUUAGAGGGACAAAGGUUUAAAAAUAAUAUCAGGAAGUAUUACUUUACUGAGAGGGUAGUGGAUGCAUGGAAUAGCCUUCCAGCUGAAGUGGUAGAGGUUAACACAGUAAAGGAGUUUAAGCAUGCGUGGGAUAGGCAUAAGGCUAUCCUAACUAUAAGAUAAGACUAGGGACUAAUGAAAGUAUUUAGAAAAUUGGGCAGACUAGAUGGGCCGAAUGGUUCUUAUCUGCCGUCACAUUCUAUGUUUCUAUGUUACUAUAUGGAGGAGAUCUGUGCACUAUUCCCAUCCAUCACCACCUGUGUAGUAUGGAGAUAGAAAACAUGAUAUACUGUUCAAAUAACAUAUAUAAAUAUAUUAUAAAGUGGCUUGGAAUAAAUAUUUAUAUUAUUUUUAAGAUAUAUGUAUACUGCAACUAGAGACUUUCAGUUAAGAAGCAGGAUACCAUUAAAUUCUUAGAAGAAACAAUUAGAAGAAAUGUUGGAUUAUUUUGACUCAUAUUUUGAUACAAUAGACCCCCCACAUUCAUUUUUUACCCUCUAUUAAUUUUAUUUAACCUUAUUUUCAUUCAAGACGUUCAACAACUUUAUUUUAACUCCAUCUGCUUCCACUAGCUCUACAUUCCUUAAAAUAACUCCUAUACACAAAGGACAUGCGACUAUAGGUCUGCCUCUUCUAAAAACAUCAUAACCGCAGCUUCACCCGGUUCCAAUAUCCCUUAGGGAUAAUCUAAUAAAGAAAGAUUAAAGAGCCAACCAGUGGGAGGCUUGAAGAAUUCAUUAGCAAGUCAUCUGAUUAUUGAAGAUGUUCCUGGUAGAAAAACAUUCCUUGUUGUUUGGAACCCCAAGAAAAAGAAAGACAAACAGUACGGGGUUAAUAAAAGAUGCAUCUCUUCUUGCAUAUAAACUUUGCUAAUUAAAACAAAUGGGCUGCUGUUCAUUUAUCUAAUUGGAACUGUCCAUUUCAAAAACGUUUCUCAUAGUUCACUCACAGAGGUUGCGUUCUGUGUAAACUUUCUCAUGGUGGCUUUAGAUAUGUAUGCUUACACACACAAACACUAAUGGAAGAUAAAUGCCAUUUGGUCCACCUUAUAAUCUCAUCUAUGCAAAGUAAUAUGCAUUAACCCCUUCUCAACUGAGAGAUGACUGUUAUGCAAGGAUAUAAAAUAAUCAUAUUGCUAUAAAAAAAAAAAACAACAUGUAUACGUGGGAUAUGCUUUUUUUUUUGUAUUGCACUGCUUUAUACAAUGUUUUAAUUUUUUUUAUAAAUCCUCACUAAUCUUUUACUCCACUACCACUCUCCUCAUUUUGCCACACCUCUUUUAAAUACAAAAAACUGUAUGUGGACAUAAUAUACUGUCAUAAUUCUGUCACUCAGGUAUCCUGGUAGUCUGCAUACCCCCAAAUACCAAAUACUCUAAACAGAAUAUUUAAUCCCUGUUAUGAAAUUGAGGUGCUCUUUUUAGUCAGGUAAUUGUAUUUGCGACAUGUAGGCAUUGCACCCACAUAUUUUGAUAUUGUUUACAUCUUCAGUCACUUUGGGGAAUAUUUAGUAGAUUUAUUAUAAAUAUUUAUCUGUAUAUUUGAUCACAUUUAUUUUAGUUUUCCAUCCUUUUGAUCCAUUUUGUCUGAAUCUGAAAGUGUAGCAAGACAAAUAAAUAAUGUAAAAAUACUUUUACAAAAUAGGAAGCACAUUUGAAGCUAGAAACAAAAUUUACUGAAUUCUUUGACCCCUUAAGGACUGAGCCAAAUGUACACGUUGUGAUCAAAACAAAACGUAAACAAAACCUGGCAUUUGCGCUAUACGUCUGUCCAACAGUAAUUUACCUCUUUCAUAUUAAAUGUACCCGCACUUACUAUAUAUCAUUUUAUUCAGGGGAAACAGGGCUUUAAUUUACCAUCAAAUAUAUAAGCUAUGAAACAUUACUUAAUAUGAAUAAAAUGUAAAAAAAUGGGAGAAAAUAAGAUUUUUAAAUUUUGUUUAGUUCUAUGUGACAUUUUAACUGUGACUGUCAUAAUACUGUUUGCUUUUACUGCAAUAAAAUACACAUAUUUGUAUUCAGCGAUGUCUCACGUGUAAAAAAAGUACCCCCUAUGUAGAGAUUUUAUGGUGUUUUAGGAUUUUAUUUUUUAACGUAUUUACAUAUUUAUUUUUUUAUAUUAUAUAUAAAUAUAUAUAUAAUAAUAUAAAUAUUUAAUCAAUAUCAUUCUAUGUGUAUUUUAAUAUUAACAUAUAUAUAUAAUUAAAUAUAUAUAUAUAUACAUUAAUAUUAAAAUAUACUUAGACAGUGUAUGUGUGUGUAUGUGUAAAUGUAUAUAUAUAUAUAUAUACUUAAUUUAUAUAUGAUCUAAGUAUAUAUUAGUUAAUUCUACACUGACCGGGUAAGUACAUAGGACGGCUUGGGAGUUCUAUGCCACCCGCCGGAGUUUAGGACCGGGUCUCCGCCGUCCUUAAGGGGUUAAAGGCACAGCUUUAGCUUAAUGAAGCAGAUUUGUUUUUGUUUAUACAGGGAGUGCAGAAUUAUUAGGCAAAUGAGUAUUUUGACCACAUCAUCCUCUUUAUGCAUGUUGUCUUACUCCAAGCUGUAUAGGCUCGAAAGCCUACUACCAAUUAAGCAUAUUAGGUGAUGUGCAUCUCUGUAAUGAGAAGGGGUGUGGUCUAAUGACAUCAACACCCUAUAUCAGGUGUGCAUAAUUAUUAGGCAACUUCCUUUCCUUUGGCAAAAUGGGUCAAAAGAAGGACUUGACAGGCUCAGAAAAGUCAAAAUAGUGAGAUAUCUUGCAGAGGGAUGCAGCACUCUUAAAAUUGCGAAGCUUCUGAAGCGUGAUCAUCGAACAAUCAAGCGUUUCAUUCAAAAUAGUCAACAGGGUCGCAAGAAGCGUGUGGAAAAACCAAGGCGCAAAAUAACUGCCCAUGAACUGAGAAAAGUCAAGCGUGCAGCUGCCACGAUGCCAGUUGCCACCAGUUUGGCCAUAUUUCAGAGCUGCAGCAUCACUGGAGUGCCCAAAAGCACAAGGUGUGCAAUACUCAGAGACAUGGCCAAGGUAAGAAAGGCUGAAAGACGACCACCACUGAACAAGACACACAAGCUGAAGCGUCAAGACUGGGCCAAGAAAUAUCUCAAGACUGAUUUUUCUAAGGUUUUAUGGACUGAUGAAAUGAGAGUGAGUCUUGAUGGGCCAGAUGGAUGGGCCCGUGGCUGGAUUGGUAAAGGGCAGAGAGCUCCAGUCCGACUCAGACGCCAGCAAGGUGGAGGUGGAGUACUGGUUUGGGCUGGUAUCAUCAAAGAUGAGCUUGUGGGGCCUUUUCUGGUUGAGGAUGGAGUCAAGCUCAACUCCCAGUCCUACUGCCAGUUCCUGGAAGACACCUUCUUCAAGCAGUGGUACAGGAAGAAGUCUGCAUCCUUCAAGAAAAACAUGAUUUUCAUGCAGGACAAUGCUCCAUCACACGCGUCCAAGUACUCCACAGCGUGGCUGGCAAGAAAGGGUAUAAAAGAAGGAAAUCUAAUGACAUGGCCUCCUUGUUCACCUGAUCUGAACCCCAUUGAGAACCUGUGGUCCAUCAUCAAAUGUGAGAUUUACAAGGAGGGAAAACAGUACACCUCUCUGAACAGUGUCUGGGAGGCUGUGGUUGCUGCUGCACGCAAUGUUGAUGGUGAACAGAUCAAAACACUGACAGAAUCCAUGGAUGGCAGGCUUUUGAGUGUCCUUACAAAGAAAGGUGGCUAUAUUGGUCACUGAUUUGUUUUUGUUUUGUUUUUGAAUGUCAGAAAUGUAUAUUUGUGAAUGUUGAGAUGUUAUAUUGGUUUCACUGGUAAUAAUAAAUAAUUGAAAUGGGUAUAUAUUUGUUUUUUGUUAAGUUGCCUAAUAAUUAUGCACAGUAAUAGUCACCUGCACACACAGAUAUCCCCCUAACAUAGCUAUAACUAAAAACAAACUAAAAACUACUUCCAAAAUAUUCAGCUUUGAUAUUAAUGAGUUUUUUGGGUUCAUUGAGAACAUGGUUGUUGUUCAAUAAUAAAAUUAAUCCUCAAAAAUACAACUUGCCUAAUAAUUCUGCACUCCCUGUAGAUCAGGGGUGCCCAAUAGGUAGAUCCCCAGCUGUUUUAAAACUACAGCUUCAACAAUGCUUUGACAUACUAAAGACAAGUAAAGCAUCAGGGGAGUUGUAGUUCUACAACAUCUGGGGAUCUACCUUUUGGGCACCCCUGGUAUAGCUCAUACCUCUGAAAUCUCACUGCUCAAUUAUCUGCCAUUUAGUAGUUAAAUAAUUUUUGUUCCUGCAGUCCUAGCCACACCUCCUAAGUGACACAGCCUGCAUGAAAAAAAAUAGUUUAAUUUUUAAUCAUAUGUUAAUUUACUUUAACGGUUUUUAUCUCCUGCUCUGUAAAUUGAGCUUUAAUCAUACACAGGAGGCUUCUACAAGAGAAGAAAUUCUAAAUUAGGCAGACUGUGCGAAACAGGUAGUGUAAACAUUAGAUCUCAUUUCAUAGGAAGUGUUUAGGAAGGCUGUGCAUAUUACAUACAGAGACUAAGGCAGCAUAAACAAAGUGAUUAAACUCCUAAAUGAUACAUAUUUAAACUGUGAGACUGCAGGGGCAUGACCUAUACCAGAAAUUAGUAAUUAAAAAGCUUAAAUGUAUUAUUUUUAUCUCACAGGGAUACUACAGUGUUAGUGAUACAGGUAUUUAUAAUGCUUUGGUGUUUCUUUAAUAACACAGUAUAUUGUUUACCAUUGUUAUCGAUGCAAUGUAAUAUUAGUAAAGUAGCUGAUUUUAAAGGAAUACUCCAAGCACCAUAACCACUACAGCCAGCUGCUGAUGUGUUGAUGAUGACAGGACUGCCCUGGCACUCUUCUAGUAUAAGCCUUAAUCUUCAGUAGUAAAAUUAUCAAGAUGCAGAUUCUUUAGCUCAGUGUUCAUUUAACUCACUGCCAGAUGUUUAGUAUAAAAUAAAUGUCAUUACAAAUAUGUAUUUAUACCAGUUUAGCUUUGUGAGCACUUACAUUUAAUCUGCUUUUACAGUGCUUGGCCAAGAUGAAAAUAUCCCCAUUCAAAUGUGUGCAUACAAAAAUGAGUAAUGUACAUUUCAAGAGGGUCCACAUUAAUUUAAAUGCAUUUAUUUUUUUUCUUACUUGCUUUAUAGUAAGCAGGUAAAAAUUCUGCUUAUGUUUCCUACAUAUUGGAAAGCCACAGCAGCCAGUGAAUAGUCUUAGAUUGUUAUCAUGCUAGUGUUUCUGGUCAGUAACAGCAGCGCUUAAAUUGAGGUAAAAAUUCAAUUGGAAUUAAACCAUGUAUAUAAGGUUUUUAGCAUACAUUUUUUUUUUAAAACAAUUAUAAUAAUUUGUAGGAGGGGAAAAUGAGGGUAUUUAGCUUCUCCACCGCAACAAUAGUACUACUAUUUUACUACUUUAGAAACACGAAACAACUUAAAAUUUGUUGAAUCAUUUUCGCUCUACAUCAUGAGGGUAUGCAGGAGUACAGAGGUUAUGAGAGAGGGAAAUUUUAAAGACAGUGGGAGUGUAAAAAAAAAAAACACACAAAAAAACACAGUAUUUUUUCAUGAUGGAGCACAUUACCACUUCCUCCCUGCUUCUGUUUCUCUCACAAGAAUUCCAGAUCAUUUUGGCUGUUGUACAAAAAUGUGUCUUUGGCUUAUGGAAGAUAUUUGAAGACAUAUAUAAUUGCAAAACUGCAUCUUUAAUGAACUCUAACAGCUCCCCCAGUGAAACAGUAACAAGGAUAGUGAUUAUCUUUGGCGAUUCCAAGUUGCCUCACAUGAAAUUUAAGGAGACCACAGUACUAUUAUGUUAAAUGUGUUCACAGUAAAUUGGACAAUUAUGCGAUAGGUUGAUAAAAUAAGUAGAAGAAUUAAUCAAUUAAAAAGAUUACGCAAAGUGAAGGAAAAGAAUUGUUGUGGUUAGCUGAAACCAUUUUUAUUUUUAGUGGGUUGAAGACUGUAAAUUAUUUUGUCACCACCAUUUAGGGUCAAGAGAAACUCUAGGUGCCAUAACCACUACAAAUCAUUGUUAUGCUAUGACAAUAAGUCUAUCAGUGCUCCCCUGGAUUUUCUGUUUUGAGUUUGUGGACAUGUCCGAGCACUCUCAAUCACACAUAGUCCACCUCUCUGCAUUCAAUCUGAAAUAACGUUUUUAUGCAUUAUUAAGUGAGAAUUCGUCCAAACUUCAGUGGGUCGAUGAGAAGAGAGGGUUGGCCUAUCUGUCCCCAGUUAUAUAUUUGUGGGUAUAUAGGAAUGUUAUUAAAGAGUAAAUAGUACAUAUCACUCACAAUGCCUCUCCUUUUUAUCAAAUUCACGAGUUCUCACUGCUGUGAAUGUUACUUCUUCAGAAAGCUAGAAGAGAGUAACAGCUUUGGAGUGCAUAUUCAGUGCUACUUAUUAUAGUAUAGACUAGAAAUCCGCAUUUUUGGAAACAAUAAUGGUGAGACUAUUAAACAAGUGCAGCCAAUGGUACUCAGAACCCUCUAUAGUGAUAAUCAGUGUCUGUCUCCAAUACAGCAAUUAGUAGUGGAAAACCAAAUAAAUUAAUGUGGCACGGUUUCAGUUGUGAUGUGUUUGUGGUGUAAUAUGUGUAGCUGGGGACUGAAGAGAGUGAGAGGGUGUGUAUAGAGAUUGUAGUAUAUGUAAUACUACUUUGUAAGCUCACAGGCUCUCCAUCUAAGCCCUUUGUAUAAAAGAGCUUCAAUGGCUAGUUAUCAGGUUACCAUCAGGGCUCUCUUUACCUCAUGUAUUUGUCUGUGUAUAUUGUACGUUCUCCACUAAUUGUACAGCGCUGUGAAAUCUGUUGGCGCUUUAUAAAUACCAGUAAUAAAUACAAUAAAAAUAGUGUGUGUGUAUGUGAUGUAGUGUGUGCAUGAAUUGUAGAGAAUGUGUGUUUAGGGAAUGUAGUGUGCGUGUUUGAGUGUAGAACAUCUAGUGUGUGCAUAGGGGAUCCAGAGUGUAUUUGUCAGAAAUGUAGUGUGAGUAGGUGGUGCGGUGUGUGUCUAUAGGGAAUCUCUUGUGUGUGUAUGUGUGUGUGUGUGUGUGUAGAGAAUCCAGAGUGUUUACAAGGGAUGUAGUGUUUCUAAGUGGUGUAGUGUGUAUAAGGCAUGUUGUGUGUGUGUGAGAAGUGCACUGUGUGUGUGAGGGGUGCAGUGUGUGUGUGAGGGGUGCAUGGAGUGUGUGUGGUGUACUGUGUUUGUGGGGUGCAUGGUGUGUGAGGGGUGCACUGUGUGUGUAAAGGGUGCACUGUGUGUCUAUACAGGAUCUUUUUUAUGUGUAGAGGAUCCAGCGUGUGCGUAGAAGAUCCAGAGUGUUUAAAAGGAAGUACCGUAUUUAUCGGCGUAUAACAUGCACCGGCGUAUAACAUGCACCUCAUUUUAAGAGGGAAAUUUCAGGGAAAAAAAACUUAAAGGACCACUAUAGUGCCAGGAAAACAUACUCGUUUUCCUGGCACUAUAGUGCCCUGAGGGUGCCCCCACCCUCAGGGACCCCCUCCCGCCGGGCUCUGGAGAGAGUAAGGGGUUAAACACUUACCUUUCUCCAGGGCCGGGCGGGGAGCUGUACUCCUCCUCUCCUCCUUGCUCGCGACGUCAUCGUCAGGAGCCGCGCGCGCAUUCAGCCGGUCGCAUAGGAAAGCAUUUACAAUGCUUUCCUAUGGACGCUUGCGUGCUCUCACUGUGAUUUUCACAGUGAGAAGCACGCAAGCGCCUCUAGCGGCUGUCAAUGAGAGGCUCUGGAGGCUGGAUUAACCCUCAGUAUAAACAUAGCAGUUUCUCUAAAACUGCUAUGUUUAUUUAAAAAAAGGGUUAAUCCUAGAGGGACCUGGCACCCAGACCACUUCAUAAAGCUGAAGUGGUCUGGGUGCCUAGAGUGGUCCUUUAAAUUUCAAAUAAAGAACUUCUUUUCCCCUUCCCCCUCUUACCCCCUUCUUACUCCCCCUCCCCCUCUUCUUACCCCCCUUUCUUACUCCCCCCUCCCCCUCUUCUUACUCCCCCUCCCCUUCUUACCCCCUUCUUACUCCCCCUCUUCUUACCCCCCUUUCUUACUCCCCCUCCCCUCUUCUUGCUUCCCCUCCCCUCUUACCUUUCUUGCUCCCCCCUCCCAUCUUCUUGCCCCCUCCCCUUUCUUGCUCCCCCUCCCCUCUUCUUACCCCCCUCCUCUUCUUACCUCCCUCCCCCUUUCUUACUCCCCCCUCCCCUCUCUUGUUCCCACUCCCCUCUCUUAUUCCCCGCUCCCCCCUCCUUUUUCUUGCCCUCCUCCUGUCACCCCCUUCCCUGUGGCGUGGCCGAACGCUCUGCUGUCCGCGGUGAUUGGGCGGCGGAUGACGGGGUGCACGCACCGGUGCCUUCCCUUAUCCUCCGGCCGACCUGGCUGAUACCAACUGCGGCAGCCUGAGGCUCUUGACGGAAGCGGCUCGAGUGAUAUCAAAAGAACGGUAGGUAUAACACACACACCCACACCCGCCCGAUAAAUACGGUAUUUGCUGUUCGCAAAUUGUCUGAUACUGAACGCAGGAGCAGUUCCAAGGGACUCCAGGCACUAUAACCAAUCCAAUGAGACAAAAUAGUUAUAGUGCCUACAGUGUACCUUUUUUGAUGGGAACUGAUACAGAAUGGGAGCAGAUGACCGAUAUCAAAGAGAACAAAAAGCCCAACAGAGUGAAGAAAAUGGUACAGAUAUGGAAGGUAGAAAAAGACAAUUAACUUAUAAUGUUUUACUAGCACCUUGUUUCAGUCAAUAUUACUUUGUUUGUCAUGGCUUGUUAAUGUAUAUCCCCCUGUUUAAUUGUAAAUCUCGGUGUAAUUUGUUGGCGCUAUAUAAAUGAUGAUGAUGAUAAUAAUAAUAAUGAUAAAAUAAUAGUAAUAAAAGUUUUGGAGAGUAAAUUGACGUAGAACUAAUAGGUACAGGGAGAGAAUAGGGUAAAUGAAAUGAAGUGAAUAUAUGGAAGUGGGACCAAUGUAUCAAUCACUUGCUUUUAUGCAAGCGAACAAUAAUUUAAGGCACUAUCGGCAUGCUGGCAGGAAUAAAGAGUGUGAGUCGCUAUGGUGCUCAGGGUAUUUAUUUAGAGUGCAGAAAACAAAAUAUCAGACUUUUCUAUCUUAUACUAUUUUGAUAUCGUUGUAUAUGGCCAUAUAAUACUUUAAUUGUUUCUUUAAAAUAACAAUCACCUAUUACAAAUGUUUACAUUUUUUCAUGAGAUGUUCCAUUUCAUUUUAUAUUUAUAUUAAAGAUUUAGUAGAUUACAUUAUAAUCCAGUUCAGAUAAGGCAAAACCCAGUUAAACAUUACAAAUGAGAAAAAUAAAUACUAUAUUUUUCAGGCUAUGGAAUGCAGAUUUUUACCCCAACAUUUGGGAUAAAAAACUGCUUGCAUCCUAUAUGAUGAGUGUCCUUUUAAUGGUAUAUGAAUAGCGAGAAUCGCUAAUUAUAUAUAUAUAUAUAUAUAUAUAUAUAUAUACAUCCAUGUUUGGUCCGCUGAGCCGGUGAGCACUGCAGGCUUCCGUAGCAGGAGGGGCCUUUUAUACUUUGUCUGCAGCUCCCACUCUCACAAGUGUUGGCAUUCCAGAGCAUUGCUGCAGGUUACCACGACAACUCUCUAAAACUGUACAAUGCCAAGGCCCGCAAGUACAGUGUUCCUCUGGCAGAGUUGCAGCCACCAUAGGACCACCAAUCUUUUGCUAUAAGUAAGAAGCAGGGUGGGGGAAUAAACUUUAAUAAGAACAAUACAUACAUACAUGAUAAUUAAAGUAAAACUGCUGCUCUAUUGUCAGCCCCAUGCAACACAGCCCUUAUCCUACUCCACAAAGUCUCAUACACACAACACACACACUGCAUCUCUUACAAACCACACUCACUAUACACACACUGCAUCCCUUCCACACAUACACAGUAUUCAUUAUACACACACAUUGCAUCCUCUAUACACACUACAUUCACUAUUUGUGCACACACGACAUUCCUUACAAACACUCUGCAUUCAAUAUAUACACACACACACACUCUGCAUUCACUAUACACACACUGCAUUCACCAUCCACAUACACACUACAUCCCCUACACACAUUCAUUAUACACACACACACACACAACAUCCCCUACACACACAAUGUAUGGUAUAUGGUAAUUAUGGCACAGCUUGUUUAAUUAAUGUUUCCUAAAUUUCUAGUUAAAAUAUAUGGUGUUAUAUUCCACUGCACAUUAUAUUCCGAAAAAUAUGGUAAAAACAUUGUUCAUUUGUCCUUUUUGCACCUGGCAGUCAGGAUAGCGAAAGCAUACAAAGGACAGAGUUUAUAACAAUGAUUGAUAGGGAGCUACGAUGAAGGCGCCCAGUUACAGGAUAAAAAUGUGUGAAUUAACUUUUGUGACUGGGAAAAUAUUUGAAGAGCUAGUAAGAGAUAAUAUUCAGGAAUUCAUUGGGAAGAACUUUGUUAUUAGCAAAACAAAAAAGAGCCUUCUAGGGAGAGGAUGUCAGGUUACUCAAAGGAAGGGGGGGGGAGGGGGUGGAGAUAACCCCCAGAAAUAUUUAAUAGUUAACAAAAAGAACACAAGAAAAAAACAUUUAGGAGAUAGACCCCCAUUGGUAGGGAGUACCCCUAAUAAAAUGUAACUUUUAAUGUAUAAAAAAACCUCAAUCUACAAGAGGAUUAAAUCGAGUAUCUAUAUUAAGAAAAAAUCCUACAAAACUGUGGUAUAGAGAAAUAUGUAUACAUGAAAUUAAACGAUGUAGAAAGCAAAAAUAAAUAAAUUAGAUAAAUAAGGAAAAUGGAAAAAAUCAGAGACUAUCCACUCUAAGACUGCGGAGGGUAUUCACUGAAAUUAGCAAUGUAUAAAAUAAAUAUAAAAAGGUGAAGUAACGAAAAAUAAAUAACAAAUGGAAAAUAGUUACUUUGUAAAUUGGCCAGAGGGGGAAGCUUAAGUGAGUUAAGGUUAUAAUGUUGCAAGUCGUCUAUUAGAGCAGAAUGAGAUACCAGAGUAUAGAUAAGCAAGUACAGCCCGUCUCUACACUGUUACGCCUUCGAGGGCACCCCUUAAUAGACGCUAAACCCCCCUCUUGUCACUUAGAGGAAAUGGAAGAUAUCCUUGAAAGAAUAUAUAAUGAAAAUAAAAUAAAAAAUUAUAAAUGAAGAAUGAUAAUAAAUAAAUAAUAAAGAUAAUUGACAGUGGACACCUUGUGGGCGAAAAAUCAAACGAGCUACAGAGAUUACUCGUAUAGAGAAUGAAUGUAUAAUAGUAUAAAAGUCUGGUAUGGGUGGUAUUAUCUCCGAAAAUAUUGGCAAAAUGUUGUUCCAUAUGUUUUAACCAACCCCAUACAUAAAAGUCCCGAUGUGCGUUUUGUCAAAAAUGUCUCUUCCCCUGGAGUUUUUGUUAACUAUUUGUUAUUAGCAAUAAUCAGCAUAAUUUUAUGAAACAUAGGUCAUGGCAAACUAACCUAAUUGCAUUCUACGAAGAAGUAAGUAGAAGUAUAGAUCAGGGUGUUGCAGUGGAUGUGAUCUACUUGGAUUUUUCCAAGACAUUUGAUACAGUUCCUCACAAUAGGUUAGUCUUCAAACUAAAAUAAAUUGGUCUAGAUGAAUAUUCUUGUUCUUGGGUAGAACAUUGGCUUAAGGAUAGAGUACAACGAGUUGUCAUUAAUGGUAAAUUUUCAGGUUGGACAAAAGUGGUAAGUGGUGUCCCUCAAGGUUCUGUUUUGGGACCGCUUCUAUUUACCAUAUUUAUAAAUGAUCUUGAAAUAGGCAUUGAAAAACAUGUUUCAGUGUUUGCAGAUGACACAAAACUUUGUAAAGUAAUAAAAUGUGAGCAGAAAUUGCUUUUCUGCAGAGGGAUUUGGAUAGAUUGAAAGAAUGGGCAUUAAAAUGGCAGAUGAAAUUUAACGUAGAGAAACGUUAAGAAGUUAUGCACUUUGGGUUCAAGAAUGCACAAGCAACUUACACCCUAAAUGGUAGUGAAUUAGGGAUAAACACACAUGAGAAGGAUUUGGGAAUUGUUAUAGACAACAAAUUAGGCAGCAAUAUGCAAUGUCAAUCUGCAGUUGCUAAGUUCAGGAAGGUUUUGUCAUGUAUAAAUAAAUGCAAAACCGCAAAAAAGUGUACCUAUAGGUAGGGAGAAGACUAGUGUGAGCCUGGACUUCUUGUGUAGAAGAUUCAAGAUAAAGGCUCGUUUAAAGGACCACAGGGUCCAAAAAAACAAACAAAAAACUAAUUUAUUAUGUAUCAAUAAUAAUAAAGGAAUAAGUGUUCAAAAUGAACAUAGCAACAGAAAUAAGUUUAAAAACAAAGUACCAGUGUAUGUAUAUUAGGAUCAAUUCUGAUUUCUAAACCAAUAUGUAUAAACACACCUAUAGCGCACGUCUGCGCAAAAGAGGGGGAGGACAUAUAGGUGCUACUAAUAAUGAAUAGUGUGGCGAAACCGGCCUCGCCACGUGUCCUUGGAGGGGGCUGCUUGCCCGCCUCUUGCCUUUGGACUAUGGACCAGACUUUAUGUGAAUGUGUUAUACCCCAGAUAGGAAUCCCAUGGAGCCCAUUCGUAUGAAACUGACUGUAAAGACUGGCUCCAUGGCGAUUAAACUGUAUUUGUGUGGUCCGAGCGCCAUUCACUUAAUAAUGUGCGCUCAGACCUGAGCUAUCUGGGGAUAUGUGAAAUGUCUGUGUGUUAUGUGUAAAAUGUGACUUUAUGUAUUUUAAAGUGUUUUGUGUCUUUUUGCAACCAUGUGCUUAAUGGAGUCUUGUGUCUAUCCUGGGAGAUAAUUGAAUUACUCUCCAGGAUAGAAGACUCUGAAACUGGUUUGGGCCAGAAAGCCAUGCUUCAUUUAGUCACAAAGGACUUUUACUAACUUUUGAACCCCUUGUCUGAUUUGUGCCAUUUUUGAACAUGUUGUUCCCCUGAAUGGAUUGAUUGUGAAUAUGUAAUUUUAUGUGAAUGUGAUGUAUGGUUUUGGAGUUAUGAAAGUUGGGUAGAAAGUAUGUUUUAACUGUAUGUAUAAUUGAGUUUCCUCCCAGGAUAAGGGGAGGGAAUAUGUGGGAUGUAACUGUGAUGUGAUUGGUUGUUUUGUAACGCCCUGUGGGCUGUACUAUGUUUGUGGAUUGGGAAUAAAAGAGACUGUAUGUGACAGUACAGGAGUUCCUGCUUAACCCUCAAAGUGAAGUGUUGUCUCAUUAUUGGGGGAGGAUUCAUUGUAUGCUGUUCCAGUUUGACUGCUAGGAGUGUAAACCUAUUCGUAUGGUUUCCUAUUCAACUGUCUACAGCAUUCAUAUGCUUGAGAGAAGGUAUACGCUUCUCUGGUUCGGUGAUUGUGGUGUCGGCUGCAGUGCUUGGAGUCCUCAGGAAGCGCUAGGAGCAUCUUUCAACGGAGGUACCCAGUCGGGGUGCCAGGCGAUCUGUUACAUUGGUGGCAAGCGGUGGGAUGGCGUCCUAGUGCGAGGUAAAGCAGCUCAGAGACACAGUCGUUUGGAUUUACAAAUUGAAGGCGACGCUAGUAUUUAUACAGCGUCCCUGUCUACAUAAAGAUUUGGGAAAAUGGGGUUCGUGGAUCCUUGGGCACCUCGCACACCUGAGGAAGAGGGUGAAUUGGACUGGAGAGAUAUUGCCCGGCAAGAACUAUGGUACAAUGCCCUGGAGGAAGUCCAGUAUCAACGGCAGCAGCGCCUUCCUGGUGUCGCAUACCGGUUGGAGGAAGAGAUGGCCUGGCGGAUGCCGCUUCUGGGAGACCAACCCGGAGGGCAGCAGGUCAGACAACUUGAGUACCUCGUGGAAAGGGAACUGAGCCUUGACGCCUCAUACCGGGCACUGUGGUGGUGCACUGUCCAGCCAGAGACAUGGAGGGCAGAGGGCAUCCAGCCAGAGGGGGAGAACUACACUAGCCCUGGCCUGUUGUGGAAGGCCUUAGCAGAAGACGUCGACUUUGGCAGUCCAGCAGAGUCACGGUACUGGGCUAUUUUUUAUUACCGGGGUGAGAUGGUACAGGGCCCGAGAUCUAUGGGACUGGGACAAGACCUCCACCGUUUGGCUGCCAUGGAACGACAGAUAGAGAUGGACUAUGUGGAACUACUCCACUCAUGUCAGCCACAGGGCAUAGACACAGAACAGGAAAACUGGCUGGGAGACCCAGACCUGCCAACCUACAGCUGGGAAAACGCAGCCGAGGUACCCCCUGCUUCACUACCAGCGGCAGAAGUAGGGGACCUCAUAGACUGGUCCUGGAAAGACCCACAGAUGGCAGGUGGAGAUGGGAUGGCGGUCUCUCUACCGGCCCUACAGGGAUGCUGGGCGGUCGGCCCAGAUCUCCAGCGGCAGUGUGUACCCCAGGGAGCAGAAGGUGCAGUCCUUCCUCCCCAGCGGCAGUGUGUACCCCAGGGAGCAGUAGGUGCAGUCCUUCCUCCCCAGCGGCAGUGUGUCCUGCAGGAAGCGGAGACAGUCGGUCUCGCUCCCCAGCAGCAGGGCAAUAUAUUAAAAGGGGAGACAGUUGGUCCCCCUUUCCAACAGCAGAGAGAGUGUCAGGGAGAGGAGCUUGUUAUCCCCUCUCCCCAGCGGCUGAAAGUAUGUAUGGGAGAGGAGCUUGUUACCCCCCCUCCCCAGCGGCAGCGUGUACCCCAGGGAGAUGAAGGUGCCGUCCUUCCUCCCCAGCGGCAGUGUGUACCCCAGGAAGCAGAGACCAUCUGUCUCGCACCCCAGCCGCAGGACAAAAUAUUGAAAGGGGAGACAGUUGGUCCCCCUCUCCACCAGCAAAGAGAGUGUCAGGGAGAGGAGCAGGUUACCCCCUCUCCCCAGCGGCAGUCUACAGUUCAGAGAGAGGAGCUUGUUACACCCUCUCUCCAGCGGCAGCCUAACCCACCAAGGGGAGAUGUUAAGCCCCACAACUAUGCAGAUGGGACCGUAGUCUCUGCACUUGCAGCACCAGGGGUAGGGACGGUCGGUCCUGUCCCCAGCCACAGAGCAGUGUAUCCAGAGGGGAGACAGUCGGUCUCCCCCUCCCCCAACCAGGCUCCAACCAGGCUACUUCAGUGGUGGCGCUGGCACCCGGGCAGAGUACCGCUGGUUUCUGCCCACUCAGCAACCCACCAAGGCAGUCUACCAGCCCCCCGCACAGCUGUGGUGAGGCACCUGGACAUGGACAAGUUGCUAUUUUAUCCAGGUGUAGUAACCAGUUAUUGUGGGUGGGCUGUAUUGCUGUUUGUGCUUCGUGGGUGGGUUGCUGGACUAACCAGGGCACUGACCGGCAGGAUGUCAGAUACCCUGUUAGUUUGGAUGGUAAAGGGGAGAAAUGUGGCGAAACCGCCCUCGCCACGUGUCCUUGGAGGGGGCUGCUUGCCCGCCUCUUGCCUUUGGACUAUGGACCAGACCUUAUGUGAAUGUGUUAUACCCCAGAUAGGAAUCCCAUGGAGCCCAUUCAUAUGAAACUGACUGUAAAGACUUUGGCUCCAUGGCGAUUAAACUGUAUUUGUGUGGUCUGAGCGCCAUUCACUUAAUAAUGUGCGCUCAGACCUGAGCUAUCUGGGGAUAUGUGAAAUGUCUGUGUGUUAUGUGUAAAAUGUGACUUUAUGUAUUUUAAAGUGUUUUGUGUCUUUUUUGCAACCAUGUGCUUAAUGGAGUCUUGUGUCUGUCCUGGGAGAUAAUUGAAUUACUUAUCUCCAGGAUAGAAGACUCUGAAACUGGUUUGGGCCAGAAAGCCAUGCUUCAUUUAGUCACAAGGACUUUUUACUAACUUUUGAACCCCUUGUCUGAUUUGUGCCAUUUUUGAAUAUGUUGUUCCCCUGAAUGGAUUGAUUGUGAAUAUGUAAUUUUACGUGAAUGUGAUGUAUGGUUUUGGAGUUAUGAAAGUUGGGUAGAAAGUAUGUUUUAACUGUAUGUAUAAUUGAGUUUCCUCUCAGGAUAAGGGGAGGGAAUAUGUGGGAUGUAACUGUGAUGUGAUUGGUUGUUUUGUAACGCCCUGUGGGCCGUACUAUGUUUGUGGAUUGGGAAUAAAAGAGACUGUAUGUGACAGUACAGGGAGUUCCUGUUUAACCCUCAAAGUGAAGUGUCGUCUCAUUAUUGGGGGAAGGAUUUAUUGCAUGCUGUUCCAGUUUGACUGCUAGGAGAGUAAACCUAUUCGUAUGGUUCCUAUUCAACUGUCUACAGCAUUCAUAUGCUUGAGAGAAGGUAUACGCUUCUCUGGUUCGGUGAUUGUGGUGUCGGCUGCAGUGCUUGGAGUCCUCAGGAAGCGCUAGGAGCAUCUUUCAACGGAGGUACCCAGUCGGGGUGCCAGGCGAUCCGUUACAAAUAGUAAGGUAGGACACAAUGUUGUGUGCUGCUGAGUAGGUUAUGCAGCCUGUGUACCCUAUCAAAAUAGCAAAAAAUUGGAAAUGCUUAUAUGUAGUGUAAUAUAUAUAAAUAUCAGCAGAUCGAGAUUCUAAACGGCGGUUUGGGAGUGUAUAUCUCUAAAUACUGAGGAUACGCCCCUGAACAUGUAUUGUUAAAUCAGAGGCUUCCAACAGCACUGAAUAUUGGAUAUUCAACUAUGAUGCCUGGUUAUAUACAAUGUAUAAUCAUCAAUGCCUGAGUUAGAGCUGUACUGAAAGGUAACAAAAUAGUAGUUCAAAAUGAGGAAUGAAGAUGAGAUGGUAUAGUAAGAGAUGACUAUACUAACAGCACGCUGAAAGACUGCACUCGGUGAUUGUAAGUAUAAGGUAUACACUAGGCUGUCUUGCGAUAAACAGAUAGACAGGAGAGGCUAACCCUCCGGCUAACACUCCACCAACGUGCCUUCGAGGGUACCUAUGUCUCACCCCGCUUAGAUAGAAAUAACGAGAAAAUCAGAGAAUAAAUCGCCUAUUAUGAUAAUAAAAAACGGCAUGUAUAAAGCCGUGCAGCCCCUGACGCGCGCGUUUCACCCACUUAGCUCAUCUGACGGCCCCACCCUGAUCCAGCUCCUUGGUGACAACAUCAGAAUUGCAGAUUUUUAGCCAAUCCAAUGCUUUCCCUAUGGAAAAGUUUUGGAUUGGCUGAAAUCAGCAAGGAGGCGGGCGGGGCCAAAUGCCAUUUUAGCCAAUCAGAACCUCCUGUGCAGCACUGGCUCAGGAAGCACCUCCAGUGGCCAUCUAAGGAGUGGCCACUUGGAGGUGUCCCUAGGGGCAAUGUAAACACAUGGAAAUGCCUGAAGGCAAUUAAUAUACUCACCAGAACAACUACAUUAAAGGACCACUAUAGUGCCAGGAAAACACCCUCAGGUUCCCACUCCUGCCGGGCUGAAGGGGGAGGAAGGGGGUUAAACACUCACCUUUCUCCAGCGCCAUUCAGCCAGUCCAUAGGAAAGCAUUUUCAAUGCUUUUCUAUGGACGCUGGCGUCUUCCCACUGUGAAAAUCACAGUGAGAAGCGCGGAAGAACCUAUAGCGGCUGUCAAUGAGACAGCCACUAGAGGCUGGAUUAACCUAUUUGUAAACAUAGCAGUUUCUCUGAAACUGUUAUGUUUACAGCAGUCAGGGUUAAUCCUAGAUGAUCCUGGCACCCAGACCACUUAAUUGAGCUGAAGUGGUCUGGGUGCCUAUAGUGGUCCUUUAAGCUGUAGUUGUUCUGGUGACUAUAGUGUCCCUUUAAGUAUUUAUUUAUGACACCAGACCCCUGGCCGUCAACUUCAAAAACCCCUGAAAACCUCAUGUCUUAACUCCCCAUUAUUACCUUUAUUACCUUUAAAAUGUAAGCUCACAAGUCAUGUUGUAUAAAACUGUAAGCGCUAGACUGUAAGCUCAUGGGAUCUGCUCCUUUUGUGUACAUUUUUUAUAUUAACCGUCUAAAUUGUGAAUAAUUACUAAUUUUUAAUUUUCAUAAAUAAAUAAAAUACAUCAGUUUAUAUUAAAAAAUCAUGAAAUACAGACAAUAGAAACAGACAAUACAUGGAAUAGACAAUACAGGCAGCCAACAUUUUAAGAAUUUCAAUAUUGUACCAAGAAAUAAAGAUAUUGAAUGGUUUAAUUCUACAGUCUUUUUAACAAUGAACAAGCAUUUGUACUACAUUUAGCACAUUUUUUUAAAACUACUAUUGUUCAUGCUAAUCAUUAUUGGAGGGGAUAUUGUACUGUAAGAUAUAAAUCAUAUCAGAAUAUAUCUUUCUAAGAUGAAUGUAAUGAAGGAACAUGGUUUGCAUAUUUAAAAGGAUACUAUAGUCAUCCAAAAGUUAGGUUUAAAGGGACACUACAGGCACCUGGAACACUUCAUCUAAUUCAAGUGGUCUGGGUGCAGUGCCCCUGUCCCUUUAACUCUGCAAUAUAAAACAUUGCUGUUUCAGAGACCAGUUUCAUUGGCCAGGAUUAUCACAGAGGAAUAUUUUGAAUCAUCUAAGCUAUAUAGGCUUAUCAUAAUUAGAAUUUGUCAUGAUAUCCUUAGUACACAUUACGUAUUAAAUGACAGCACAUGAAAAAUGCCACACUGCAGUAUCUAGAUUUCAUAUUGAGAAUGACUUCUCAUUGAUAGUGAGUAGAUUUCACUCAUGCAGCAUUUGAAUUUGAUGUAUUGCAGGGCAACACUUUGCACAUCGAUUUGUUACCCCAAUGAUAUACAGUAACAUGCUGGGCUGUAAUAACAAUUAUAUAUAUAUAUAUAUAUAUAUAUAUAUACAUAGUAAAUAAACUGCUCAUCCACAGCAUUAAAAUCUCUGACAGGUAUAGUGAAUAACAUUGAUUAUAUCUUUACAACUGCACAUAUCAAAGGGUGGGUUUAUAUUAGGCAGCAAGUGAACAGUCAGUUCUUGAAUUUCAUGUGUUGGGAGCAGGAAAAAUGGCCGUGCUAAAAUAUCUGAGUAACUUUAACCCCUUAAGGACACAUGACGGAAAUAUUCCGUCAUGAUUCCCUUUUAUUCCAGAAGUUGUGUCCUUAAGGGGUUAACAAGGGUCAGAUAAGAAGGGCUAGACGACUAGGUUAGAGGAUCUUCAAAAUGGAAAGUCUUGUGGGGUGUUCGUGGUAUACAGAGGUCAGUACCUACCAAAAGUGGUGCAAGAAAGGGUAACCAAUGAAUUGGCAUGAAAGUCAUGGGCGCCCAAGGUUCAUUGAUGCACGUGGGUAGUGAAGGCUAGCCCGUCUGGUCCAAUCACACAGAAAAGCUACUAUAGCUCAAAUGGCUGAAACACUUAAUGCUGGCCAUUAUAGAAAGGUGUCAGAACACACAGUGCAUCACAGUUUGCUGCAUAUGGGGCCCAAUGAUGAACCCAGUCCACUGCCGAAAGCUCCUUCAAUGGGGAUGUGAGCGUUAGAACUGGACCAUGGAGCAAUGGAAGAAGGUUUCCGAGCCUGAUGAAUCACAUGCCAAAUUAUGUCUUCUAUGUCUUUUCAGGAUUUCUCUGUAGCCGACUGUAACUAACUGGUUUUGAUGAGACAGUGGGAAGAGCUGGAGCAGACUAUGGCAAACAGUUAUGUAACCGUUUCUGAUGCAUACUGUGUUGCAGAGCCAUUACCUUACUAUGGUAAGUCAAACUACCACCAGAUACAGUGAAAAUGUUUAAAUAAAUAUAGGAAACACAAAGAACAGUGUGAUUUUAAUUGCACUUUUAUUGCAAUUUGUAAAUAAAAUAGACUGUUGAUAGCGUUAAGUCAACAUUUAGUAUACACUACAAAAUACACCACAUAGUGUCC
Molecule: long non-coding RNA, 88105 nt
Filed under: Pelobates cultripes (western spadefoot toad)
Lineage: Eukaryota; Metazoa; Chordata; Amphibia; Anura; Pelobatidae
Source: RNAcentral